RNAcentral lists this long non-coding RNA (51059 nucleotides) under Populus trichocarpa (black cottonwood). RNAcentral describes it as "long non-coding RNA (PTRI_LNC003933)". The record is from RNAcentral. Lineage: Eukaryota; Viridiplantae; Streptophyta; Magnoliopsida; Malpighiales; Salicaceae.
UUUUUUUUUUUCCUCUUAGAAAAAAAAGGAAAGGAAUAAGGUUGUACAAGAACAUGAACAACACCCUGGGCUGCUAUAAUAUGCUGACAUACGAAAGUGAAAUGAAGUUAACAAAUGGAUUUUGUUUAGGGGUAGAAUUGAAGCAGAGUUAAGCAGAUACAAUGUGUUUUAGAGGAGAAGUUUUUGGUUAGUUGUUAAUUAUAGCGUUAAAUAUGAUCGGUGAAGUUCGUUUCUCUCGAAGUGGAAAAAUAGGAAAAGGGAAAAAAGAAAGAAAGAACUGACACAUUAUUAGAUUUUGUAUGUUGUAGUAAUUAGGCUUGGUGGCCAGUUUUGUUGAUAGAAAAGGACAAAUUAUAGCUCAAGAGAUUGUGUUUAGACUUGUUUAAAAAUCGUUACUUGUAUGAAAUACUUGUUAUAGAGAUAUUGAAGCAGCUAUACUUUGCUUUUCAUGCAGGGUUAGCAACUAUUUAGGAUUAGAAGCAGCUGUUGAAGCAACUGCCGAAUUUCUGAAUAAAGCUGUGAAGCCUGUCAUUAUUGGCGGACCCAAGCUUAGAGUAGCAAAGGGGCAGAAGGCCUUUAUAGAAUUAGCAGAUGCCAGUGGAUAUCCCUUAGCUGUCAUGCCUUCUGGGAAAGGGCUAGUGCCAGAGCACCACCCUCACUUCAUAGGGACAUAUUGGGGUGCUGCCAGCACCUGCUUCUGUGCGGAGAUAGUAGAGUCUGCUGAUGCCUAUGUUUUUGUUGGUCCCAUCUUCAAUGAUUUUAGCUCUGUUGGAUAUUCUUUGCUGAUCAAGAAGGAGAAAUCAAUCAUAGUGCAGCCUAAUCGUGUGACUAUUGGCAAUGGCCCUUCGCUUGGAUGGGUUUUUAUGGCUGACUUCUUAGGUGCUUUGGCCAAAAAACUGAAGAAAAACAGCACAGCUUUGGAAAAUUACAGACGCAUCUUUUUCCCUCCUGGCAUGCCUUUGAUGCGUGAGAAAGAUGAGCCUCUUAGGGUCAAUGUACUGUUCAAGCACAUUCAGGUAAGGCUAAAAAAGAAUGAUGUGAUGCAAUAUUUCUAACUGGAUUAUGUCAGAGGCCUAAACAAUUCCUUUGUUUAUUAACAGAUAUGCUUCUUGUGAAUAUUAAAAGUCUAAAUGUGUAUCUUGCAUGUUUGUCCUGGCUUCUUUCCUUUAUGUCCCUUUUCAUUUCAGGAGGGGGGAAAAAUUACUUGUAUAGGUCAUUUGCGCAUCCACUGUCAUUUCUCCAUCAAUGUAAUCGAAUGGCGUUAGUCACCAUGAUAACAUGGAUUGCUAGGUCUCUUAAAUGAGUUUUGAUUGAAGAUUCUGAACAGUAAAUACUUAGGAUCGGCAUUCUUGUUUAUUCCUACUUAAUUAUUGUAACAAAAUUGAACAUUCAACAGAGCAUGUUAGGGGGGGAUUCUGCUGUAAUUGCUGAAACCGGAGACUCAUGGUUUAAUUGUCAGAAACUCUGCCUCCCUGAGAACUGUGGGUAAGUUGGAGUCUUUAAUAAGAGCAAUUUAAGCUCCUAUAUGAUUUAAGUUUAAACAGGUUGGUAACUGUUCAUUAACAAUUUUGUGCAGGUAUGAAUUUCAGAUGCAGUAUGGAUCAAUUGGCUGGUCAGUUGGUGCAUCUCUUGGUUAUGCUCAGGCAGCUAGAGAUAAGCGUGUGAUUGCCUGUAUAGGUGAUGGGAGUUUCCAGGUGAGUGAUGCCAUUUGAAUUACACUUCAGUAUCUCAUCUGCAAUGAUUGGAAACUCUUCACCAUCAUGUGGCGUUAAGGAUAUACGUACAAAAGGGAAGAAAAAGAAAAAAAUUCUACUCUGUUUGAGUGCCAAAACUUCUGUCUCUUGUAAACCAGUAUUCAAUUAUGGGUAUAGAAGACGUUGUCACUGCGGUUAUAAAGAUAGCGUCAGGGAAAUUGAAAUAGGUUACAGUUUGUUAUUUAUUGCUACAACCCAUAGCAAUACCUAAAGAAAAUGUUUCAAAUCCUGAUCGUGGUCUAGUCAUGUUUAUAACUUCUCUAUGCUAAUUUGCUGGUUCAUUUUGAUGAAUGCAAAAUUUGUAAGUUGUACCAUAUGGUUAACAGUUUUCUCCUUACUCAGGUAACAGCUCAGGAUAUUUCAACUAUGAUCCGAUGUGGGCAAAGGACUAUCAUAUUCCUCAUCAACAAUGGAGGUUAUACGAUUGAAGCACAGAUUCAUGAUGGUCCUUACAAUGUGAUCAAGAACUGGGACUACACUGGCCUUGUUAAUGCCAUCCACAAUGGUGAAGGCAAAUGCUGGACAGCAAAGGUUAGCAUAAAUAGAUUUGAGAUAUUCGUUUUUCCCCUCAAAUCAUUUUUACUUCUGCUCCAAAUUCAGACUGUUCCCCUUCACUUAUUUUUAAUGUGCUUUUAGCAAAAUUUUCCCUUCGGCUGUUCCCAUAGUCCCAUCGUUUCUCAACUGCAGCAUUGAGUAAUUUCUAUCGACUCCUUGAGUUAUAGCUCUAUAACCACAAGAAAGAACAAGUGAUCCUAUACCAUAAACUUCUUUGAAUUGCAAACCUCAUAGAACAGGGUGGCAAUAUAUACAUUCAACAAACUAAAAGACAAAUUUAUGAAGCGAAUUCGCAAGUAAUGACUGAGAUUGAUUUCUUCAAGAUAAGCUGAUGGAUUAUGCUGUGAAAUACAGGUGCGCACGGAGGAUGAAUUGACAGCAGCAAUAGCGACAGCAACAGGAGAACAAAAAGAUUCUCUCUGUUUCAUUGAGAUUUUCGUGCACAAGGAUGACACUAGCAAAGAGCUGCUGGAGUGGGCACCUCGAGUUUCAGCCGCAACCGGCAGACCUCCAAACCCCCAGUAAUCGAGCUAAUGCUAUAGCAUUUCUGCGAGCCUAGACAUCACUUUCUACAUUAUAACUAGAAAUAAGAGGAAAGAUGGGAUUCCUUUCUUUGUGUGAAAUUGUUACUAGUCCUGUCACUGCUUUCAGCUUCCAAUUCUAACCCAUCCAUAAUGAAGUUUAAACUCUAUAGCACUCUAUCAAUUAUAGAAAGGAGUUGGAUAUGUGAUGUGAAAUAAUUUAGUUGUCUUGUCGAUGAGGUUGUUUAUAUAUGUAUGGCAAAGUGCAAUAUAGAGUUGAACUCAGUUUAUGAUUAACUUCUGCAAUUCAGUUUUUAUGUUCUGGUCUAUUUACAGAGCUCAUAGAACCUCUCCAGAUUCUGUUCCAUCAAUUAAUUACUAACUCAUCUUUCUCAAGACCAUAAGUUCCGAUACAGCCCCCUCAACAUUGGAGAUAGAUACACAAGGAUUAUAUGCUGAUGUACUCAGCUCCCUGAUGUUUUGAGAGCUCCAAGUGACACUUUUUAGGUACGUUGACAUAAAAAUUCGGUAGCUCAAUUGCUUAUCAUAACUUCGUUGUUAGAAAUAAGAACAUGCAUGCCUUGUAGCAAGAAAAUAAGAGAUGAGACAGAAGCGUGCAUCCUUCGGCAUAGGAUCUCUCUCCUCCACCCCUUUUCUGCCUUCUUUGUGCCUCGUAAUGCUAAGAACAUUAUUAGUUUGGUUCUAUAUAGAAAGGUUUUGAUUUUUCUAGAGCCAUUGGGAGGAAAUACAAAUGAAUUAAUGAGGUGGAUACAACUGCAUUUUACAAAGAAGAUUAUAAUAUUUGGUGAUGAAACAGUGUUGCCGUUUAUGGGGAGGAGGUUAUUGUAGUGCCAAUUCAUCCCACGAUGGUGCUCCAUCCUGUAGUGAUUGUAUUUUUCACUUUGGAUUUAAUGGACUUUCAGACAAUUCGUGUGCAGCUUGUUAAGACCUUGGACCAUGAUGCUUGGUAUUUGAAUUGAGUUCGCCACCCUAUUCCGCUAUUCUUUUUAGUUUCUUGGCCAUUUUCUUAUUACCCAUCCGGAAGCAGACUCCAAAGAUUUGGUAACUUGUUUUUAUUUAAACAAAAUUUGGAAAAUUGGUUGCACCCGUGGAGAUAAUAUCAAAAGCUGGCACGAACUUUAUUCGCGGGCGUGAGGGGAAAUGCUUGCAUUAGCUGACGUGCUCAAGCUCAUGCUCUAAAGCAUACAGAGUGGCAGCGACCUCUCCAACCAAAACCACAAAAUUAAAAACUUUUGCUUUUAGAGAUUCCUCACUGUGAACUAGUCUUCUCUUCUACCACUCUCUUCCUGUUCCAUUCCUUCUCUUUUUGCAAAAUGAAGGCUGCAGUGUUAAGAUCUUCUCGGGCAGCGUUAAGGCCAUGCACAUCCAGGCACCUUGUUGGCCGAUCAUACUCAUCAACAGAGUCUAGGCCAGAACGCAAAGUGGCAAUACUUGGUGCAGCAGGUGGCAUAGGGCAGCCGUUGGCUUUGCUUUUGAAGUUAAACCCACUAAUCUCAUCUCUCUCCCUCUAUGACAUAGCCAACACUCCUGGAGUUGCUGCUGAUGUUAGCCACAUCAAUUCUCGUGCUCAGGUCCAUAACUCUUGCUAGCUAUUUGCUUAUGUAUCAUCGAGUUUAAUGGCCAAAUUCAACUAAUGGGCCUGUUUCAAGUCUUCAUGUUGCACAACGAGGGAAAACAAAUGCAAAGUAUUAGAUUCAAGGUUUCCUUCCAUUUUUAUUUGUCAUUUCUUUUGUUUCUUUGGAAAUUAAAAAAUCCUAUGUUGCUUCGACCCUUCAUUUUGCCUUACAGUAGCCGGGUCCCACACUAGACACUUGAACAUAGGAAUGGAAAACAAUCAAAUUACAUGGAAAAAUGAAAGAGGUUCUUAAGAGAAUAGCCGAGUCCAACAUAAGUAUGCAUGUCGGACACGCACCUAUGUCGGAUAUGUAUCCCGAGUCCGAGCAACAUAGAAAACAUCUGUGAAGUGAAUCAACUCAGUUACAUUGCUCAAUGGUUUAUUUUCUUUUGCCUUCCUUUCAUUUUUGCUUUUGGCUUGCGGGGUGGCUUGUUGUUGUUUUGUCAGGUUGCGGGGUAUGCUGGGGAAGAACAGCUAGUGGAAGCAUUGGACGGAUCAGAUGUUGUGAUUAUUCCAGCAGGAGUUCCAAGAAAACCCGGAAUGACUCGUGAUGAUCUCUUCAAAAUCAAUGCAGGAAUUGUCAAAUCUUUAUGCACAGCCAUCGCAAAAUACUGCCCUAAUGUGAGCUCUUUUUCUGGGAUAUACUUGUUCAAGAAAUGAGAAUUCGUUCUCUUAUUUCCUCUGCCUUGAUGGAUAUGUUGAUUGUUGAUAAUUUCGAUUUCAUUGAUGGGAUUAGGCUCUGGUUAAUAUGAUAAGCAAUCCAGUGAAUUCUACUGUCCCGAUAGCUGCUGAAGUUUUCAAGAACGCAGGGACAUUUGACGAGAGGAAGCUGUUUGGUGUGACAACGCUUGAUGUAGUCAGAGCUAAAACUUUCUAUGCUGGGAAGGUUAAAGUUCCCGUGGCUGGUAUAUCUAUUUUCUUGCUUUAGGUUGCUUUCAUGUUUCUGUACACCUUCUAAGGAAAUGUAUGCCUGAGUUUUCUAUUGCGUCUUCCUGUUGCAGAGGUUAAUGUGCCAGUAGUUGGCGGGCAUGCUGGCAUAACCAUCCUCCCUAUUUUCUGUCACGACCCGAAUCCCGGGUCCAUGACCGGCAAUGCAAGAGCGGUGUCGAAAGGACACCCCACCUACGCUAAGCCUCAAAACAAACAUAUCAAAAGAACAAUUUAUUCAAAAAUACACAGCAUUUCAUAAUCUUCAGAAAUAUUAUAUUAUUCAAAAGUGAUGAAACCAAAAGAUAGUUUAAAACUCCUCAUCAGUAAUUAAAACAAAAACAAUAAUCCAUAAUACUUAUUAUAUUGUCAAAAUCCAAACUUAAUUAAAACAAGGUAAUAGUGGAGCAUCUAAGACAUCAAAUCAAAACUAAAAGGAAAGCCUCGCAAAACAAGCAAGGCAUACCGACCAAAAUUGAAGAAGCAGGAACACUCUACAAAGUCCAACUGCUAUCAGAAACUAAGAACCUGAAAUAAUAUUAAGAAUGAAGGGUGAGUUCAACCAACUCAGUGAGGGAAUAAUAUUUAAUAUACAUUUUAGAUAUUUAUAAUAUUAAUAGUUUGCAAGAUGAUUUAUCUUGAUAUACAUAUACAUAUACAUACUAAACAUAUUAUCAUAACGUAGUGGAAUACAUGUCAGAGAUCAGAUGACACCCGAAGGUGACCAGAUGACACCCGAAGGUGACCACUGUGGGAUGAUCAGUCGCCACAGGCUGAUGCCUCUCUCACCAGCUAGGCAUACAGAAUACUAUGUGCACAUAGGCUAACUACUCUCCGUUAGCAUGGAGUUACUGACAAGUCCCAUAUCAAGGCAUAAUAGAUAUUACAGAAUCAUCAAAGAAACGUAUAUCAUAUCAAAUAGAAUUUAGUUUGACAGAUUGCGAGUGCAAAUUCAAGAAUAAAUGAGUACUCGGAAAAUAAAGCAACAUAUAUAAGUAUUCAAGAAAUUAACUAGUACUCAUUGUAUAAUCAACAUACAUAUUUAUUUAUAAUAUAUGCAUAUUAAAGAUUAUCCCACUCACCCGAAAGAAUAUAGAUUAAAAGGAAUAUCAGAUGAAAGACCCGAAAAACCUAUUAAGGAUCGUUAGGAGAACCUACAAUAAAUAUAUGAAAUAUACUCAAAAGCAACUCAAAGCAACACAAAUAAAAGAUUCCAAUGCAUAAAAGAAAACUAGGUUUAGUCUCCUAGGUUUAGGGACUAAAACGACAAUUAUCCAAAACAGGGACCAAAACGUAAUUUUACCAAAACUGGACCAAACUGUAAAUACAUAACCAUACUGAAAUUUCACCCAUAAACCAUCCUUAAUUCUGUCUAGAACAAACCAGGGACCGAACUGUAAUUUUUAUAAAGUUUAGGGACUAAAAUGUAAAUUCCCAAAAUUUAGGGACCAAACUGAAAAUAUUCCAAAUCCAUUAUCAAAAUGAGAUUCAUCAUCCUUAACCUCAUAAUAACACUGUCCAGAAUCUCAAAAUACAUUUAGGGGUCAAAUUGUAAUUUUUUCAAAGUUUAGGGACUAAACUGAAACUUUCACAAAUCAAGGACCAAAAUAAAAUUUGGUCAUCUUCAACCUCAAGACCAUUCUGUCCAGAUUUUACAGCAAGGUAAAAAUGAAUUUCUUAACCCAUAAAAAUUAAUUUAAACAAAUCAACUCACAAAUCUUUAUUUUUAACAACAUACUAAUUAAUCACCUAACAUUAAACCCUUAAUAAUCAUAAAUCAAUCUUAACAACAUAAACUUCUAAUCCUUAUAAACCCUAAUCUCUCUCUCUCUCUCUCUCUCUCUCUCUAAUCUUUCCAUAAACAAAUCAUAAUUAAAAGUAACAUGAGAGAGAAUCACUUACUUGCUACUUCCACUUUUCUUAAACCCAAACACUACAACAUUAUACAGUUUUGCCGACGGACUAAUUCCGUCGGUGACAUCAAUGCACUCCGUCGGUAAAAAUAAUACCGACGGAGUAACCGACGGAUCACGUUCGUCGGUAUAACAGUCGUCGGUAAAUCCCAUUUCCGUCGCUAAUUAUGUCGCAAAUAAAAAAAAACACCCACCGACGGAAACACCGACGGAUACGCGCGCGCCAAAAAAAGUUUCCCGCGGGAACAUUACCGACGGACUAUAGCCAUCGGUAAUGUCAAGGAUAAUUACCGACGGCAUUACCGACGGAAAACCCGUCGGUAAUGAUGGCAUGGCUUGUAAUUUUUGUUGCAACUCUCUGUGAAUUACCGACGGAUACUAUCCGUCGGUAAUGCCAUCGGUAUAAAAUCACCGACGGAUAGUAUCCGUCGGCAAUCCGUCGGUGAAUGUGGCAAAAUCACGUAAUUUUUUUGCAACUCUCUGUUAAAUGCCGAUAUAUCCGUCGGAACGUAUUUAAAAUAUUAAAAAAAAUAAUUGAUUAAUUGUAAAAAAACCUUGAUAAACAAAUAAAAAUGCAUUAAACAUUAAAAAUGUAAAAGUAAUAAUAUUCAUUACAAAUUUUAAUGUGUUUAAAAAACAAAAUUAAACUAGAAUAGCGGCGGAGCUGGAGGAGGAGGCGGAGGAGGAGGAGGAGGCUGGUUGUUCCCGGGACCAUACGGCCAAAAAGAUGCUGCACAAGUAUCGUCACCCAUCUUUGAUCUCAUCUCCAUGACUAUUUGACGGAGCUCAUCAUAAUUCGUCGAGAGUUGUUGAUAUUGUUGUUUCAACGCAAUGAACUCCUCAGACUGGGUGUUCGAUACUGAUGGAGAGCUUCCAACAGUUGAGACACUACGAGUCGAACGCAAGUUGUCAGCCGUAGUGUUGGAGAGCCCGUAGACCCUGUUUUUAUCGGGUCCACCAGACGAUCCCGCCUCCAUCCACAAAUCUGGAUCGAAAUCUGGAUGGGUCGACGGAUUGUCCCCAUAUCUCUCCCUCAACCGGCUAUUAUAGGUCUCCUGAAAAUUUCAUCGGUAAAAAAAUCAUCAAAUGCAAUUCAUUCAAGAUGCAAUUCAAGAAAAUAAUAACUUACAAAAUAAAAUGAAUGAACAAACAUACCACGAAGUGCUGAGCACGGUUGUCCACGAACUGCUGCACCCCCUUUUGGCGGUCUUGACUCCGCACAUGCGUCUCUAGAAACAGCUCCAUUGGACUCGGUUCACGUCCAAGAGACGCAGCCUGUAAUAUAAAAAAUAGGUUGAAAGUUAAAUAUAUUAUAAGGAACGACAAAUUAAUUAACGAUAUAUUUCAAUAAAAUUACUCUUACCAUCCGCUUUGCAUGUGCGCUGAAUGGGACGGAUCCGCCAGUGUGCAUCGUCACCGAACCAUGAAUUUGCCGGUUCCGGUUGUCGGCGCCAGAAUGUGAGCGCCGUGAGAACCGCUCUGAGGUCACGUGCUCAAUAUAUGCCGUCCAUAUUUCCCCCGAGAUGAAUGGCGGUUUGAAUUCCUGCCAAACCGCCACCUCAUUCCAUCCUUCAAGACCGUUAUCCCUCGCAUGUCUUUUUGAUUUUUUUUGGGUGUCAUACCAAAAAUCACGCAACCUACUUCCAUAGUAACAAAUUAGAAUUUAAAACAUAAAAUUAUAAAACAAAAAUAAAUAUUAUUUUCGAUGUUACCUAGUUGCCGCGUGAUUCUCCCAUACCCUCCUCACAACAUUGUUGUCCGCCCUAUCCCACUCAAAUUUGUUCUGUGUAUAUAAAUAAUUCAUAUAAAAUAAAAAUAGUACAAGAUAUAAAAUUAUAAAAAUCAUUUAUUAAAAAUAAGCUGUAAAUUAAAAAUUAACACCGACCUGAAAUCGCUUAAACCAUGCAUCGAUAUUAGGUUUCCACUCAGGAUGUUUGGAAACCUGGCUCCAUUGAAACAAUGGAAUCUCCAUCGACGAUUUAAACGCCAAUGUUAUAGUCCUUGCAGCCUCAAUGUUUGUGAACCUGAAAUUAAAUAAAAGUAGUAAUUAAUAUUAAUUAGUUGUUCAUAAAUUAUGUUAUAAGUAUAUAAAAAAAAAACCAAAACCUAAACAAACUUACAUUGAGAGGUCAUCCUUCCAUUGUGCUUGGUACUUGCGGGUGAAUUGACCCCGCUGUGAAGGCACACCGCUUCUGCGCUGUGAAACCGCGCUAGAAGAGGCAGCAUCACAAGUUGGCGUAGAUUCCUCGCCGUGAUCAGCACCUAAGGAUACGUCCUCCUCGCUGCUAGAAGAACUAGCUGCAACCGUCUUCUGACGACGUGCUGUCGAUUUCAUUCUACGCAUCUACACAAAUGUAUACGAAUAAUUACAUAAUUAACUUCGAUUAUUUAAAAAAAAAUUCGACAGAGCCUCCCCUGUACUGGGGGGUCCCAAGUUGUCGACAAAAUCAUAUUACACUUCUAAUUUUAUUUCACAUCCCGAUCCAAUCAUCCUGGAUCUCAACCCAACUCAUCAUCAUCAACACAACAUUUUAUUCAAUAACAUCAUAUAUAAUUACAACUAUGAACAUUCAUUGUUAAAUUGGUACUUAGAGUGACAAACAUUAGAUUAAAGUCUUCCAUUCAAAUUUACGGAUAUAAACUAACAUUUUUAACAUAAAUUCAACAAUAACAAUUAUAGCAAUACAAACAAUAAUAUCCUAAAUUAAGAUAAACUAAUUAAAUGCAAUUCUAUAUAUAUAAAUUAACAUUUUUAAAAUAAACCAACAAUAACAAUUAUAUUUAUAAACUAACAUUUUUAACAUAAAUUCAACAAUAAAAUUUAUAGCAAUACAAACAAUAAUAUCCUAAAUUAAGAUAAACUAAUUAAAUGCAAUUCUAUAUAUAUAAAUUAACAUUUUUAAAAUAAACCAACAAUAACAAUUAUAUUUAUAAACUAACAUUUUUAACAUAAAUUCAACAAUAACAAUUGUUGUAACCCAUUUUUGGGUCCCCACAAAUAAAAAAAAUAUAUAAUAAUAAUAAUAAUAAUAAUAAUUAAAAAAAAAAAGAAUUUGAACAGUGUCGUUUUGACACUGUUCCUCUACCCGCCGCGCUCCAUGCCGUUGGAGCCGAACCUCGACAGUAGCACCCAAUGGCCGACCAGCCGCCGCGAGACCCGCUCCCAUGCGCAACAGCAAAAGCCACACCCACUUGCUCUAUAAAUAGCACCCAACACAGCAGAGAGAGGGGGGAAAAAAACUUUUUGAAACGGAGAGAGGAAGAAGUUUAAAACGAGGAGAGUUUUGUUGAACGGGAGGGGGCUGGAAAACUAAAAGGGGAGGCGUGUUUUUGGAACGAGAAAGAGAGAGAGCACCCAAAAACAGUCCCCCUCCUGGCCAUUCCCCUCUCUCGGCCAUUUCUUCCCUGCACCCGAAACAGCCUUCUCUGUCAACGGAGCCCCAGACCGACCUCAUUUUCUCCUCCAUCCCAGCAGCAGCAACAACACCAGGAGGAGGAGCAGCCGCAGUCAUGCCCUGCCACCAGCACCUCCACGAAGACGUUGCAGAGAAGGAAGAACAUUGUUGACAGCAGAAAACACCAUCAGCAACAGAAGGAGAAGACAAAACAGGGGCGAACAGAGGAGAAAGAGAGGAGAGAGAACAAACAAGAGAGAGGGAAAAGAGGAAGGAAUAAACCGAAAACAAAGAAAAGAAAACCGAAAACAAAGAGAAAGGAAGAAAAAAGGGGGAAGGGAGGAGAGAACCCGAAGAAAAAACCGGAGGAAGAAUUGGAGAAAGAAGGCAGGAGAGAGAGAGGAGAGGAGAAAUAACACAGGAGCAGUAGAGAAGAGGAAGAGCCAACCUUCGGUCAGCAACCACCAGCAAAACCACCACCAGCACCACUGUCAGCUCCUCUACCCAAGCUCAUCGUCGCAGGUAACUCUUCCCCUGUUCAUCUUCUUGCAUGCAGAACGUGCACUGUGCACGUUCUGCAAGCAAGAAAUUAAUUAGCUGGUUACUGUGCAGGGGCACAGUAACCGGCUAAUUAAUUCCCCCGGUUACUAUGCAGGUCUAAUUAAUUAACAUGUUACUGUGCAGGUGCACAGUAGCCACCUAAUUAAUUAACGGGUCACUGUGCUUAUGUACAGUAACCCGGUUACUAUUUGUGCACAGUACCCCCGUCACUAUUUGUGUACAGUAUCUCAGUCACUGUUGUGUACAGUAUCCCGUAAGAAGCAUGAUGGCCUGUUGGGCCGAAAUCGGCCCAACAAUUUUGGGCUGAGUCCGGCCCAGUUGGUUGGGCCGGCCCAGCCUGAAUUUAAUAUUAUAUAUUAUUUAUAUUAUAUUUUGUAUUACUUAUAUAUAUAUGUGAAAAAUUACAAAAAUUCUGCAAAAAUUAUUUUUUUAAAAAAAUAUGUGUUUUGUUGUAAUUUUAUUACUGUAUUUUGAUUAAUAUCGGUUGGUAUUUUUAUAUUCUAAAGAUACAAAAUCCAAUAUUAAAAUACCCGGUUUUCAUCAAAACAUCAAAGAUUUUCAAAAUAAAAAAUGUCUUUUGCUUUCAAAAAUUUUCUAAAAAUAUCUUUAAAAAUAUUGUUGAUUUUUCUGCAUUUGUUUUAUCAAAGUGGAUUAAUAUUUGGUUGUAUUUUUAUACUGUAAGAAUACAAACCCAGUAUUAAAAUACCCGAUUUGCGUCAAAACAUACAAAAAAAAAUACAUAUUUAAAAAAGGUUUUGUUUUAAAAUACGGCCUAGUCUCUCCAAUAUAUAUAUAUAAAUAUUAUGACAUCAUAUUUUCACAACAAAGAAAAUUUCAAAAACAAUAUAUGUAUUAGCAUGCAUUUUGGCUUUAAUAACCAGUUUAUUCAAGCCAUGAGAACUAGGCCAAUAUUUCAAAAAUUCUAAAAAAUCUUUUUGUCCUCUUUUAGUAUUUGGGAUUACGAAUUUAUACGUAAAACGUAUUCCUGAUAUUAAAAAUAUGGGUUUUUUUUUACAUAGACAUUAGAACGGUUAGGUUUUACCCGAUAAGAUAAGGACCUCCUUAUUAAGGAGAACUUUUCUUGAACCAUAGACGGACCAACAACUAGGAAACACAACGAGACCUUGAAUUUUAUCAGACAAAUAAACAAUGCAGCUUACCUUAGGUAGGGCGUAUUUGGGGUGCUAAUACCUUCCCUUUACGCAACCAGUCCCCGUACCCAAUCUCUGAGACCAGUUAGGGUUCCUAGUGACCAAAAUACUAGGUGGCGACUCCCACACCAUUUUUCACUGAUAAGAGACAAAGAACUCCUUGUCUCACCAUAUUGACCAGAUAUAUCCCCCCCCAUCACACAUUUGUGGGUGGACGAUCGCCGCGACAUCGCUCACGUGCGACAGAAUGGCGACUCCACUGGGGACCUUGUGGACUAAGCUUUGUUUUUGUCUGAUUUGUUUUUGUUUUCGUGUGUUUAUUGUUAAAUAUAGAACUGUCUCAUGCGUAUAUGCUUUAAAUAUUUUUACACAUUGUUCAUGCAUUAUAUAGAACUGUCUCAUGCAUCACAUACUUUGAUUAUUGAGAGCACACACAAACUUUAAGUUAAGUGGGGGACUAGCAGCUUACCUUACGACUGUUAGUCAAGGUUUAAGUUUGUGUAAACCCCAACUCUUCGCUGAGUGCUUAGACUGGUAAUAGUUGGUACAUGUGCCAUCUCAUUACCUACAAGCCCCCAUAUUGCCUCCACGAGGGCAAUCACUGGGACAGCAAGAGACCCCUUUUAGAGACCAAGUAGUAAAUCUAUCCUAUGUCUCACAUAAAGGAACUAGAACCUACAUUUAGGUUGUAUGCUCCAUAAUCUCUUUUGCAUCAAAACAAGUCUAAACCUAAAGGUAUUUUUCCCAGGACUUGUGAAUGAAAUGGCCACCAUUGCUAAAUUUUCCAUCAUAGAAUACGAAAAAAUUCUGAAAUGUCACAAUUGACUGAAGGAGACUGCCUUAGAAGCGAUGCUAAGAAGUUGUCACCAAUCAAGAACCUGAAUUGCAUUAUGAAUGAGGUGACCAAGUUAAUGACUCACUUUCAGAAUGUGGAUGAGGAUGUGUUUUUUAGGAAAUAUAGACGUUUGGUAGAAAUCGCAAGGGUAGAAGUUUAAGCAGAACUGUGCGAGCCUUAGUUCAUUUUUGGGAUCCAGACUACCGGUGUUUUUCUUUUGGAAGCAUAAACCUAUGUCCCAAUAUAGGAUGUUGACUGAGUUUCCAAACAAUUUGUAUAGGAUUUAUUUUCCUUUGAGAUUUGACAAGAUCACCCCCGAACUGUCAAAAUUGCUCAGAAUUGCCAACUUGGAAAAGUUUUUGGAAAAAGAAUGGUACCGGUCUGAAGUGGAGGAUGUUAGAAAUUGAACUAGAAAAAGGUCAGGAUCAGAAAUAGAGUAUAUUUGGCCUUGUGUUGUUCCUAGGCCAGAUGAAUGUAGUGAGUUUGGAGGCCGCUGUUGCUUAUGUAGAGUAUGAGAAUACACAAAUCAAUCCAGUGGUUUUUUAAUUUAGUUGAAACUAUCGUGACACUUAACCAUUGUAGGAAGACCAGAAAAGGAGCAAUGAGAUGCUGCAUGCAGUUGUUGUAUAUCUAGAUGGUUAGCCACAUCGAAACAAAAAGGCCUAUCUUUAAUAAUUUUUCGUGGUUCACCCAAAGACCCCUGAAGUUGGUAGAAGAAAAGAAUGGGAAGAUCUAGGCAACCAGGUUUGGGUUGACAAAGUAGAAAGUUUUGCCUAAUAGUGAUUUCAGUGGAGAGCUCCGUGGGUCACUAUAGUGGAUGUCUUGGUGAGUUGUGGGCAAAGACGCUGGGUGCUUUUGGUAAGGAUCACAAGUUAUGUAAGUUAUGCUCCUACCCUUAUGGUAAGGCAACUUGGGGGCAUGCAAUUUGUUCCAAGGACUAUAGGAAUUGCUCAAUUCUUUGGUUUGUUCGAAGAUCCCAUUGCACAAGAAGUUGUGGAGAUCAUCAAACAAGAUUGGAAGCAUCUGGUUUUGGUUUAGAUAGGAGGUUUAAAGGAUCCAAGUGCAAGUGAAAGAUAUGCAAGAUGGAGAGACUUAGCUGCUUCAGCUAAUAGAAGCCAAAUCUCCCCAAACUAUAGAGGAGCCUAUUAAGAGGAAAAUGGUCAAUAAGGAAGACUAGUGGAAAAGUUUCGGAUAGAAUUAAGCAAAAGCAGAAAGGAUGAGCAAAUACAAUCUAUUGAUGCGAGGAUAACAAAGCUUGAGUUAAAGCUAGGUGAAGAGAAGAUUGCUAGGAAAGAAGUGAGAAGGAGCUAGGAGGGAUGAGUUUGGAUUGGAUGCAAAGUUGCUUUGAACUUGAAGCAAUGGAGAUUGACUUUAAAGAUUGCCAAAGUAGCAUAAAAUAUACCCAAGAAAAAUCUGCACAAGUUCAAUUCGAACGGAUGGAUAGGAUUAGGAAGACCAUUUGAUGGAGAUUGUAAAGGAAGAGAGUAAAAGGAAAGGUUUAAGGCUAUUGAAGCAAAGUUAGCGGUUAAGAAUGAGAUAAAAGUUAUGAGGAUAAAACUUGACAAGGAGCGCGAAAAGAUGAAGUAUUUGGACAAUAAGCUAGCAGCAAUGGAAAAAUACAAGGAUCAAAUAGACGCUAGCAAUGCUGCUUUGAACAAAACCAAUAUGUUGCUCAUAGAAAAGAUGACCAAGACGAAUGAGCAAAUGGACAAAUUUGUUGCGCAUGAUCGGAUUAUUAGAAUCCAUGCAUAAAAAGUGGGAGGGGACAGCAUUCGCUAGCGCCGAAGCCUAGCUAAAACCGAUGCCUUUCUAGGGAAGAUUGAGAAUCGCGGCUUUGCCUGUUUAUCUUUGGCUAGAGAGUUUGUGGAUGAAAGGUAACAAACUUGUCAAGCAUUAGGCAUUGACCCAUCUUCUUAUGCAAAAUCUGUCUCUUGGUGAACAUGAUUCAAACAAACGACUCGAAAGGCAGUACUCCUAGCAAUGUAACAAGAGAGCCUAUGUUUAUAAGGUGGUGGCUGUUAUUCGUUCACAAGAAGGCUACAACGAAAAAGGGGACCUAUGUUUCCCAAAUAGGCAACAAAAACAUGCAUAUUAUAUUGUCAUAAACAUUAACCUGACAGGAAAGGUGUGGCGAAAGCCAAAAUAGUUCCAAGUUUUUGGGAACCGCUGAGAUACCGAAUCUCAGGUCAAAAGAACUGCGAAGAUGAGUUGUGAACCAGCACUGCUUCAUUCCUUGAGGUAAGAUGAUUUCUUUUGAGAUUCAAAACGGGCAGGUCACCCGACAUUGAGACCACUUUUAGAAAAAAAGCGUGGAGUUCUUUUUAAAAUUGACCUUACCUCUGAUAGCAUAAUGAAUUGAUAAAUCACCUAUAAAUUCCUUUCAAGAUAAAAACAUAGAUUAUCCAUCCUAACAAUGUGCAUUUUAAAAUGAGAAAACUUCAUUAUCCCUUCACUCUCUAAAGAGUAUAUCGUUGGUGGUCCCAUUUGAGCCGGAAUGAAUUUCUUCUCUAUAAAAGCCCAGACUAGGAUCACACCCCUACACUGGGGGCAAAACGAGUUGUUUUUUGAAAAGUUUUACGUGUUUAAAAUUGGUUGGAAGCCCAUAGAUUUGAAAACCAAGCUAAAGCAUUUGACAAAAGCAUGACAAAGAGGCAGAUACAAGUCAUACAUUUUGAGAAAAAGGACUACUUGGAGAAAGUCAAAGACUUCUUCUCCAAGAAUAUGAUAGGCAACACGAGAGAUGAAUCCAGCAUACGACUUCAAAAGUAAAGUUCAUGUUAAGAGGGAGUCUCAUGAACUAGAAGAAGAGGAUGGGGCCUAUGUUUCAAAACCAGGUACGAAUGCAUGCAUUGCAUCUAAUCAUAAAUCAUUGCAUGUAUGUUUUUUUGGAUCGUUACAGAAGGAGAUCUUAGCGCAUUCCAACAAGAUUAUGGACGAAGAAAGAAUCAUUGAGUUGAUUCUAGAACAACAAGAAGAGAAGAUAAUGGUUUUCAAACCAUGCCAGCAGGAAGGACGACAUCGAUAGCAUUCGGUAAAAAGGAAUCGCCAAAUGGGAUUCCAAGUUGUUGAGAUCGCCAGAAGGGAUCUCGUAUUUCGAUGAAGGUCGCCAGAAGGGACCUUAAAUUUCAGCUUUUGUAUAAAAGGAAUCGCCAGAUGGGAUUCCAAGUUGUUUGGAUAAAGGAGAUCGCCAGAAGGGAUCUUGUAUUUCGAUGAAGGUCGUCAGAAGGAACUUCAUGUUUUAGCUUUGGUAAAAGGAAUUGCCCGAUGGGAUUCCAAGUUAUUUGAGAUCACCAGAAAGGAUCUCGUACUUCGACAUUCAUCAAGGAAGGUCGCUGGAAGGGACCUCGUAUUGAAACUAUUUCUUAGAAAAGCAUGGAGUUUACUAAGAAUUCUUCCCCUUGGGUAGGUCACCCAUACAAUGAGACCAUCAUUUUUCCUGGGUAGGUCACCCAUAACAAUGAGACCACUUCACAUUUUUUCUAUCUUCCACCUGGGUAGGUCACCCAUUAUAACGCGACCACUUCACAUUUUUUCUAUCUUCCACCUGGGUAGGUCACCCAUUAUAAUGAGACCGCACUUCACAUUCUUCCCCCUGGGUAGGUCACCCAUAAUAAUGAGACCACUCUUUCCUUUUCCCAUUUGGGCAGGUCACCCGUCAUAAUGAGACCACAUACGUGUUUUUGUAUUUAGGUUGGGUAAAGGAAUCGCCAGAUGGGAUCUCAGGUUAGCCCAACCACACACAAAAUAAUGGUUCUGGUUAAAGGGGAUGGCCAGAUGGGAUCUCAGGUUAGCCCAACCACACACAGGAUUUUGGUUCUGGUUAAAGGGGAUCGCCAGAUGGGAUCUCAGGUUAGCCCAACCACACACAGAAUAAUGGUUCUGGUUAAAGGGGAUCGCCGGAAGGGAUCUCAGGUUAGCCCAACCGUAACAUCGAUAUUAGCUAAGGGAAAUCGUCAGAUGGGAUUUCAGUUUGGCCCAACUACAAAUAUGGAUUUUUAGUUAAAAGAGAUCGCCAGAAUGGAUCUCGGAUGGAAUGCCAGGUUAAUCUAAUCCAAGUUAGAGGUCAGGGGAUCGCCGGAUUGGGAUCUCAAGAGGACUAAGUUUUGAUCAUUUUUUUCGGGUUGAAGGCGAGCUGCUGUAAAGACAGUUCCAGAUAGAUCAAGCUUCGACAAUAUCAGUUUCGGAAGUUCAGUUUUGUUUAUCUUUAUAAAACUUACUACGCAAAACCCAUGCUGCUCCGUAAGAAUUAUAAAGAGGGGGCAUCUGUUGUAACCCAUUUUUGGGUCCCCACAAAUAAAAAAAAAUAUAAUAAUAAUAAUAAUAAUAAUAAUAAAAAAGAAUUUGAACAGUGUCGUUUUGACACUGUUCCUCUACCCGCCGCGCUCCAUGCCGUUGGAGCCGAACCUCGACAGUAGCACCCAAUGGCCGACCAGCCGCCGCGAGACCCGCUCCCAUGCGCAACAGCAAAAGCCACACCCACUUGCUCUAUAAAUAGCACCCAACACAGCAGAGAGAGGGGGGGAAAAAACUUUUUGAAACGGAGAGAGGAAGAAGUUUAAAACGAGGAGAGUUUUGUUGAACGGGAGGGGGCUGGAAAACUAAAAGGGGAGGCGUGUUUUUGGAACGAGAAAGAGAGAGAGCACCCAAAAACAGUCCCCCUCCUGGCCAUUCCCCUCUCUCGGCCAUUUCUUCCCUGCACCCGAAACAGCCUUCUCUGUCAACGGAGCCCCAGACCGACCUCAUUUUCUCCUCCAUCCCAGCAGCAGCAACAACACCAGGAGGAGGAGCAGCCGCAGUCAUGCCCUGCCACCAGCACCUCCACGAAGACGUUGCAGAGAAGGAAGAACAUUGUUGACAGCAGAAAACACCAUCAGCAACAGAAGGAGAAGACAAAACAGGGGCGAACAGAGGAGAAAGAGAGGAGAGAGAACAAACAAGAGAGAGGGAAAAGAGGAAGGAAUAAACCGAAAACAAAGAAAAGAAAACCGAAAACAAAGAGAAAGGAAGAAAAAAAGGGGAAGGGAGGAGAGAACCCGAAGAAAAAACCGGAGGAAGAAUUGGAGAAAGAAGGCAGGAGAGAGAGAGGAGAGGAGAAAUAACACAGGAGCAGUAGAGAAGAGGAAGAGCCAACCUUCGGUCAGCAACCACCAGCAAAACCACCACCAGCACCACUGUCAGCUCCUCUACCCAAGCUCAUCGUCGCAGGUAACUCUUCCCCUGUUCAUCUUCUUGCAUGCAGAACGUGCACUGUGCACGUUCUGCAAGCAAGAAAUUAAUUAGCUGGUUACUGUGCAGGGGCACAGUAACCGGCUAAUUAAUUCCCCCGGUUACUAUGCAGGUCUAAUUAAUUAACAUGUUACUGUGCAGGUGCACAGUAGCCACCUAAUUAAUUAACGGGUCACUGUGCUUAUGUACAGUAACCCGGUUACUAUUUGUGCACAGUACCCCCGUCACUAUUUGUGUACAGUAUCUCAGUCACUGUUGUGUACAGUAUCCCGUCACAGAAGAAGCAUGAUGGCCUGUUGGGCCGAAACAGGCCGAGAUCGGCCCAACCCAGUCUGGGCCGAAAUCGGCCCAACAAUUUUGGGCUGAGUCCGGCCCAGUUGGUUGGGCCGGCCCAGCCUGAAUUUAAUAUUAUAUAUUAUUUAUAUUAUAUUUUGUAUUACUUAUAUAUAUAUGUGAAAAAUUACAAAAAUUCUGCAAAAAUUAUUUUUUAAAAAAAAUAUGUGUUUUUGUUGUAAUUUUAUUACUGUAUUUUGAUUAAUAUCGGUUGGUAUUUUUAUACUCUAAAGAUACAAAAUCCAAUAUUAAAAUACCCGGUUUUCAUCAAAACAUCAAAGAUUUUCAAAAUAAAAAAUGUCUUUUGCUUUCAAAAAUUUUCUAAAAAUAUCUUUAAAAAUAUUGUUGAUUUUUCUGCAUUUGUUUUAUCAAAGUGGAUUAAUAUUUGGUUGUAUUUUUAUACUGUAAGAAUACAAACCCAGUAUUAAAAUACCCGAUUUGCGUCAAAACAUACAAAAAAAAAUACAUAUUUAAAAAAGGUUUUGUUUUAAAAUACGGCCUAGUCUCUCCAAUAUAUAUAUAUAAAUAUUAUGACAUCAUAUUUUCACAACAAAGAAAAUUUCAAAAACAAUAUAUGUAUUAGCAUGCAUUUUGGCUUUAAUAACCAGUUUAUUCAAGCCAUGAGAACUAGGCCAAUAUUUCAAAAAUUCUAAAAAAUCUUUUUGUCCUCUUUUAGUAUUUGGGAUUACGAAUUUAUACGUAAAACGUAUUCCUGAUAUUAAAAAUAUGGGUUUUUUUUUACAUAGACAUUAGAACGGUUAGGUUUUACCCGAUAAGAUAAGGACCUCCUUAUUGAGGAGAACUUUUCUUGAACCAUAGACGGACCAACAACUAGGAAACACAACGAGACCUUGAAUUUUAUCAGACAAAUAAACAAUGCAGCUUACCUUAGGUAGGGCGUAUUUGAGGUGCUAAUACCUUCCCUUUACGCAACCAGUCCCCGUACCCAAUCUCUGAGACCAGUUAGGGUUCCUAGUGACCAAAAUACUAGGUGGCGACUCCCACACCAUUUUUCACUGAUAAGAGACAAAGAACUCCUUGUCUCACCAUAUUGACCAGAUAUAUCCCCCCCCCAUCACAUAUUUGUGGGUGGACGAUCGCCGCGACGUCGCUCACGUGCGACAACAAUUAUAGCAAUACAAACAAUAAUAUCCUAAAUUAAGAUAAACUAAUUAAAUGCAAUUCUAUAUAUAUAAAUUAACAUUUUUAAAAUAAACCAACAAUAACAAUUAUAUUUAUAAACUAACAUUUUUAACAUAAAUUCAACAAUAACAAUUAUAGCAAUACAAACAAUAAUAUCCUAAAUUAAGAUAAACUAAUUAAAUGCAAUUCUAUAUAUAUAAAUUAACAUUUUUAAAAUAAACCAACAAUAACAAUUAUAUUUAUAAACUAACAUUUUUAACAUAAAUUCAACAAUAACAAUUAUAGCAAUACAAACAAUAAUAUCAAAACUAAAAAACUAAAAUUAACAAAUAAAAUUAAAAAACUAAAAAACACUACACAACACACAACAUAAACACAAAACUAAAAAACAUUAUAUCAAUUCAAAAUAAAUUUGGGAAUAAAAAAUGCUUACCUUAAUAAUGUGUUGAAUUUAAGAUUUUAUCUACAAACAAUAUACAAAACAAAGAACACCAAAAAAAAUAAUCAUAAUUAAAAUAAAAAAAAUAAAAAGAUAAAGAAAAAAUAAAUACAUACCUUUUAAAACUACCACCAAAACAAUAAAAUCCUUCUAAAAGCUUAAUAUAAAUGAGAAGAGAAAGGGAGAAGAGGAGAAGAGCAAGGGAGAAGAGGAGAAAGGGAGGAGAGGAGAGGAGAAAGUGAGGUGCCCGGGGAGGGGGGGCGUAUAUAUAGCUUAAUUUCCGUCGGAAUUACCGACGAAAAUUAAUUGCUGUCGGUGCAAUUAAUUUACGUCGGUAAUUCCGUCGGAAAUUAAUUGAAAUGCGCACCAAAAAAAUCGAAAAUCCCGCCAAACUUUUUCGUUCCAUCGGUACGUGCCGUCGGUAUUCGUGCAGACGGACACGUGUCAGGCAUGCGUGGUCCGUCAGUAAUGCCGUCGGUAUUGACCGUCGGUAAUUCCGUCGGAAUUAGUGCAGACAGACAGGUGGCAUGCAUGCGUGGUCCGUCGGUAUUGCCGUCGGUAUUAACCGUCGGUAAUUCCGUCGGUAUACGUGCAGACGGACACGUGUCAGGCAUGCGUCCGACAUGCCGUCGGUAAUUCCGUCGGUAGUCGCGUCGGAAAAUCCGUCGGUAAUCCGUCGGUGAGUGUGGCAAAAUCCCGUAAUUUUUUUGCAACUCUCUGUGAAAUACCGACGGGUUAUAUGCCGUCGGUAUUAGAGUCGGAAAAGCCGUCGGUAAUCCGUCGGUGAAUGUGGCAAAAUCCGUAAUUUUUUUGCAACUCUCUGUGAAAUACCGACGGGUUAUAUUCCGUCGUUAUAUCCGUCGGUGAAAAGGUAAAUUUUUCUUAUUUUUUUAUGUAACCCUCUCAAAAAAUCCUGAAUUAAGGUUUUAUAUUGCAAUCUUACAGCACACACAACACAAUAACAAAGGCUGACCCUUAAAGAAGAAUAAAUAUUUCAUGUUUCAAAUUAUUACAUUAUAAAAAUAAGGUUUUAUAACAUGUUUAGUUAGUCGGAAUUUUCAUCUUCGUCCUCUAUUGAAUUGUUAUCAUCAACUUCAUCGCACUCUUCAAUUUCGUUAUCAUCUUCUUCAACAACAUUCUUUUUUCCACUAGUAGAGCUCAGAACAUAAUUCAAUUCCUCUGCAUCAACAUCAACAAGACUAUUGUUGAAAACACGAAAAUUCAAAUUUUCUUCUAAGUCAAUCGACGGAGCAACUCGGUAUGGUUCAACCAACUCACUAGCUUGAAAGACUUCAUCUGUCACACUUGUGUCUUCGUUCUCAUCCUGAACAACCUCGACACGACCCUUGGGUUUUGUUUUUAAAACGGAUAACCAAUCAACUCUUGAUCGGUCCUUUCUAAAGGAAGGGGUGUAUGUGUAAUAAACUUGUUGGCAUUGCUUUGCGAAAACAAAGACGUCGUUUACGUUGCGGUGUCUAGCUUUUGAAUUGAUUUCAACGAGACCAUAGUGAGGAUCUACUCUGAUUCCUCUGUCAGUUGUGUCAUACCAAUAGCAUUUGAAUAAAAACACUCUAUUUUGCUCGUUAUGAUAUUGCAGUUCGAUGACCUCUUCCAAUCUACCGUAGUAGUCAACUUCAAACUCACUAGAAGUCGAUCCCUUAAUACAAACACCGCUAUUGUAUGUCUUUCUUCCAUGCCCGUAUUCUUCAGUAUGAAAGACAUAUCCAUUGACAAAAUAUCCAUUAUAGCACUUGACUUUUCUUUCAGGGCCCAGACAUAGUAAAGACAGUGAAAUAGCAGCACUACCUCCCAUUUGAUAAACCUAGCAUGUAAAUUAAAUACAACAAUAAUCAAUAAACGGAUAUUAUGUAACAUUGACUACAAUUAAUUACUUUGCAAGAGAUAAUGAGUUUGUGCUAGGAUUUACAUGUGUUCUAAACCAUGUGGCAAAUUGUUCAUCUUGUAAUUGAAAGAUCUGGGAUUCGGUCAGCUGUGAGUUAUUGGACAGUAAGUAUCGUCGAUGUUGCCUGCAAGGUUGUUCCAAAGUACAUGAGUGUAUGGUAUCACAAAACAUAAAUAGUACACUCUUGACAAAGUUUAAGUCGAACAUCUACUUACUUAAUAAAAGGUCUCAGCUCAUCACAGUUAAAUAGGACAUAAUUGUGUGCUUGUCUGAACUCUAUUUCAGACAAAUAUCUUCCCCUCACGACAUUUUUAGGUGUGGGUCGUCCAGGAUUGGAGAAUAUUGACAAGUUCCCACUUGAAUGCACUUCACCACCAUCAUCAUGCCGUGGAACACGGUUUAUCCUCGUUCUCAAAUGAGGUUCGAAAUAGUAUGAGAUAAAUGUUGAGAUCUCCUCAACAAUAUACGCCUCACAUAUUGACGCCUCAACAUGCGCCUUGUUCUUAACCUUUUUUUUAAGAUUGAACAAGUACCUGCAUAUAUAUAUAUAUAUAUAUAUAUAUAUAUAUAUAUAUUAAUAAAAAAUUAUCAAUUAAAAACAUUAAAAUAAAAAUAAAAACAUUUAAUUAUAAAUGUCAUAGCAACUGUAAUAUCUAACCUCUCGAAUGGAUACAUCCAUCUGUACUGGACCGGUCCUCCAACUUUUACCUCAAACGGUAAAUGUACGGGUAGAUGCUCCAUUGAGUCAAAAAAUGAUGGAGGGAAUAUCAUCUCAAGUUUGCAUAUUGUCUCGACGAUAUUCUUUUCAAGCCUUUCAAUGUGAUCAACAUUCAACUUGCUGGAGCAUAUGUCUCUGAAGAAAUGACUAAUCUCCGUUAGUGCAUCCCAUAUCCCCUUUGGCAACAAAUCACGAAAAGCCAAUGGGAUGAGUGUUUGCAUAAACACAUGGCAGUCAUGACUCUUCAUUCCAUAUAAUCUGCAUUCCUCCGUAUUAACCAACCUUGAUAUGUUCGAGGCAUGUCCAUCGGGGAAACGCAGACUCUUAAGCCAUUUAUAGACUAGUAGUUGUGCGUUUUUGUCUAGCACGAAGCUUGCUCUUGGUUUUGCGACCCGUGACCCAUCACAAACCAACUCCAUAUUUUUACGGUUACAGAACAACGCUACAUCCAAUCUAGCCUUGAUGUUGUCCUUUGUCUUCCCCUUCACAUCCAUGACGGUGUUGAAAAUGUUCUCAAACACGUUCUUUUCAAUAUGCAUGACGUCAAGGUUAUGGCGGAGAAGAUUGGUCUUCCAAUAAGGAAGCUCCCAAAAUAUACUUCGCUUCACCCAAUUAUGGGUCAAACCAAAACCAGGAAACUUCUGCUUACCUGAUUGGAGACCAAACACAAUUUCACCGUACUCUGACACAACAUCAAACAAUUCUUCACCAGAAAGACGCGGGGGUGCAACAUCAUUUUCAACUCUGCCAACAAAGAAAUCCUUUCUGUUCUUUCUGUACCUGUGGUUAUGUGGCAAGAAACGACGGUGACAGUCAAAAAAAGAAGCUUUACCCCCGUUUGUUAGUGUGAAUGCCUUGUUGUUCUCCAUACAAUAUGGACAUGCUAGCUUUCCAUGCGUGCUCCAACCAGAAACCAUUCCAUAAGCUGGGAAAUCAUUGAUAGUCCACAUCAAAGCCGCUCUCAUAACAAAAUUUUGUUUCAUCGAGAUGUCAUAAGUCAAAGCUCCAGAGGACCACAACUGCGUCAACUCAUCAAUCAACGGACGAAGACAAACAUCUAUAUUCCGCCCCGGACUGCUCAGACCUGGUAUGACCAUAGAUAAAAACAUGAACUCCGGCCUCAUACACAUCCCCGGUGGCAAGUUAUAAACCGUCAGUAUGUCCGGCCAACAAGAAUAAGGAGCAGCAAAUGACCCGAAUGGGUUGAAUCCGUCUGUACACAACCCAAGACGCACGUUCCUUGAUUCAGCUGAAAAGGGAGGAUGCAUACUGUUAAAGUGUUUCCAGGCUUCACCGUCAGAAGGAUGAACCAUCACUGCAUCAACCGCAUGGUGUGAUUGGUGCCAUGUCAUGUGCUCAGCAGUCCUUGGUGACAUGAAUAACCUCUGCAGUCUAGGUGUGAUUGGGAAGUAUCUAAGUUUUUUAUAUGCCACGAGAGUCUUCCCUCUACCAGUUCUAGGUUUGUAACGGGAAUGCCCGCAUGUCAUGCACUCGAUCAUCUCAGCAUUUUCAAGGUAGUAUAACAUGCAGAAGUUAGGGCAUAUAUCAAUUUUCUGGUAUCCUAAACCGAGGGGUUUCAUCAUGGACUUGGCGGCAUAGAAGUUCUCUUUCAGCCUGUUCCCUUUAGGUAAAAUGCUUAUCGCCCAUUCAAUAAUCUUGUCAUAACCGGCCUCACUCAACCCGUGAUCUGACUUGAUGGUGAACACCUGUGCUACGGCUGAUAAUUUACUGUGGUUCGUACAGCCAUCCCAUAAUGGUUCGUCAGAAUCUCUCAACAGAUUAAAAAACCUUGCUGCAUCUGCAUUAGGUUCUUCUUCUACGAUUGGACAUUCCCUGACAUUAGCUUCACUCAUUCUCAUUGCAUCCAUAACCAUAUUCCUGUAAGGAUUACUGUUCUCAUUUUCAACUUCAUGCAUGUUACUAGCACUAGAAGUUGACCCAACCACCUGUUCUUCCAUGCUCUCAUCAGGAACAAAUAGUUCUCCGUGAGCAUACCAACACAUGUAAUCUUCCAUGAACCCUUUGGUUAGAAGAUGCAUCGUUACAACAUCUUGAUGCAGAAACUUUAAAUUUUUACACUUCCUGCACGGACACCUAAUACCGCCAUCAGUAAAAUUCCUCGGAAUAGAUGUUGCGAAAUUAAUAAAACCCUGGACACCGUUACAAUAAUCCAUCCUCCGCAAUCCUUGAGGUGAGUCCCGAUACAUCCAUGAACGAUCAUCCAUGACUUCUAUUGAACCUCUAUAAAACAUAACAAAAAUAUUGGUUUUCCCCGACAUUAAUUAUCCAACAAACUAAAACAACACUUAUGUUAAAUAUUCAUUAUCAAUUAUCAAUUAUCAAUUAUCAACUAUCAACUAUCAACGUUCAUACAUACAAAUUUAUACAUAUAUAAAUUUACAGAAUUAAUCACAACUUCGAAAUAUAAUUGAUAACAAUUAAACAAGACACUUAAAUAAGCUAUUAAUUAUUUAUUUCAUCACAACGACACAUUUAAUUCGGUGUAAUUCAAACAAAAUUUCAACAAUUUACAAACAAAUAUAAUUUGACAAAAUCUAAAACAAACUAUAACAACUACAAAAUUAUACAUUCAUACUACAAGUUUCUUUGACAAAUAACAAUUAAACAAGUACAAACGUUAACAAAAUACAUAUACUAAAACAAUAAAAUUCACAAUUAAAUAUUAAAACUAAAAAGGAUAGAUUUACUUACAAAAAAAUGAUAAAAUCUACAAGAAACGGAUAUUGUGACCACGUACAAGAUAUAAGAAACUUGAGUGCUCGUGUUGAGAAUAAUGGAGAGUUUGGGAUGGGUGUUUGGCUGCAGUUUGGGAGGGGAGAGGUGGGAUGAGAAAGAAGAAGAAGGAGAAACAGAGGAAGAGAGUGUCGGCGGAUGGGGGUAUAUAACGGUUUUUUCCGACGGACGUAUUUCGUCGGUGAUUCCGUCGGUGAUGCCGUCGGUGAAAGAGCCACGUCAUCUCAGUUUGAAUCCCUCGGUAAUGCCCGUCGGUAAAAUCACCUGACGUCACCAUGUUGUUGCGUAUUUCCAGACGAACUGCAUACUCCGUCGGUAACACCGUCGGUAUAUACCGACGGACAUAUUCCGUCGGUAUAUACCGACGGUGUUACCGACGGAGUAUGGCCGUCGGUAUAUACCGACGGUUUUUGAGACGGAAUUAUUUCCGUCGGUAUAAAUUACCGACGGAAAUAUUCCGUCGGUAAUUCCGUUGCUUUUCUCCGGUUUUCUGGUAGUGAAAACUCAAGAUCAAAAACUGAAAUCUUUGGUUUAAUGAGGAAAGGGUCACGGCGGCCACAAGACUUAGAAAAGAAAACAGUAAUUCUCUUGCAACCUUUUCUUAUAUACCUAGGUUAACUUAAGUUGGGUUUGGGCUGACUUGGGCUUGGGUUUGGCCCAAAAGUUUGGGUCUUACAUUUUCUCUCAGGUCUAUCUCGCAUCCUUCUUCUGUUUCCAUUUCAAGUGAUGUAUAAAAAUAAAAUCUCUGAGAUACUACUAAUGUUACUAGCUUGAAUCUUUGAGGUGUUGAAUUAUGCCAAAGGCCGCUCCCAAAUCCAGUAAUUUAUCAGAUGAUGACAUAAAGGCUCUCACUUGGCGAACACAGGAUGGAGGAACUGAGGUUGUGGAAGCGAAGGCUGGAAAGGGAUCAGCGACACUUUCCAUGGCGUAAUGUCCUGAUACCUCUCCAUCAGUCUUGUCAGAUAAAAAAACAAAAAAAAUUGCUAUCAUUUACUAAAUGGCUAUUCUGAUAAACAACUUUGAUUCCUGUUGUAGCUACGCUGGAGCUGUCUUUGCUGAUGCUUGCUUAAAGGGGCUCAAUGGAGUUCCAGAUAUUGUUGAAUGCUCCUUUGUGCAAUCAAGCAUCACUGAUUUGCCUUUCUUUGCCUCUAAGGUGAGUCAAUGGUCAGAAGCUAGGCACCAGCUUCACAUCACAAGCUGGGCUUGAUACGGAUAAAUCUCUAAGCUGAUUGCUUCCGUGAUGCUGCAGGCAAGGCUAGGAAAGAAUGGCGUGGAGGAAGUCUUUGGAUUGGGUCCUCUUGCAGAUUAUGAACAACAUUACAACAGGGUCUUGAAAGCUUCAAGCCGGAGCUUAAAGCUUCGAUAGAGAAGGGAGUUGAGUUUGCCAACCAAAAUUAAUUGGACAAGUUAUGCAAGAUUUUGGAAUCAUAUUUUGGAACAGUUUAGUCACUGUUUUCCCAGCAUAUGAAAAUUUAAUUAGUCUAUGGAUUUUUCAAGUUUCAAAUUUAAUUAGUCAAUAUUUUGGAAUCAAAUUUCUUAUGAAAAAUUCAACUACUAUGGAGAUGGAUUUAAUUAGUCUAGGACAAAUUUAUGGACAAAAUUUCUGUCAUGGUGGAGUGUCUUUUAGUGUGUUUCAAACUCAGUUGAUGAGUUGUUGUUUCAAUGGCCAAUAAUGAUCAAUGGCAAGUUUAAGAGAGAGUCAUGGCAACUACUCUCAUAUAGUAUUGCUUGGAGUAUCUGAUUAAGAGCCUCAAUAAGGACACAUUACACAUGAAUAAAUAAAAUAUAUACAAAAAAGAGGGGGGGCACCUUAUUCAAUGUGACACACUUUGCAACCUUCACCAUGUUUGUCACGAUCUGAAUCUCGGAUCCAUGACCGACACAUAGGCAAGGUUCCCCUCCAAGGUUCCAUACCUAUGCGAACCCAAACUUACACACAAACUUAUCCUAACUCAAUCAGAGUUCAACGCAACAUUAAUAACAAAAUCAACUUCAUAAUAUAAUUGAAUUGUCUUAAUACAAGAGUUUAUAUAAGUUCAGAGUUUUGGAGCACUAACUAAACAUAAAGAAAAGGUACAAAGUACAACUAAAGAGCAGGUUCUGAAGGUCCAACAAAAGUGAUCUGCUAUCAAGCUAUAAGCCUGAAAAGGUAAAUAAUGAGAUGAUGAGUUCAACAACUCAGUGAGUAGAUAACGUUCAAUAUACACACACGAGGUAAUAAAACAAUGAGAAAUAUAUAUACAAGUAUGGCUCUAGAUUCUUAUAGGAAGGUUUCUCAAAUAGGCCAUAAUAAGAAUAUCAGAAGGUAAAGCUCGUCAGAAAAUCAAAAUGCAAUGAACAUGAGGCUCCGUACUGUGGGAUGAUCAGUCUACACAGGUUGAUGACUCCCCCAACCAACUAGGGUUCAGAUACGAUGUGCAAAAAGACUAACACUACCCUGUUAGCAUGGGUAUUCUGACUGGCAUACCAUAGGUUCAUAAUCAUAAUCAAACAGACAUAUUCAUAUCUCAAGGCUCAACUCAUGACAUCAAUCAAAUGAGAAGCUAUCAAUUCAUAAUUCAAUUCAAAAUAUAUACUGGUUCAUAUCAAGAAUUUAGAUUCAACAAUUGAUCAUGCUUUAUCAAAACAAGGAUAAUAAUCAACAUGUUUAUUAUCAAGAAGCAUGAUCCAAUUCAUAUUAACAAAUCAAAUAUUUAUAAUAUUUCUAAUGCAUAUAGAAAAUUAUCCACUCACCUGACUCGAAAGCAAACAGAAGUCAAAAGCAGAUACAGAAGAAAAUCCUACUGACGUCCCGCCGGUAGAAUAUUAGGAUUAUCUGAAUAUAAAGGAGACAUAUUCAAGAAUGACUCAAAAGAAUAUAUAACCUAUUUAAUACACUUAUCUAAGGGUGUAUUCCAUAACCCUAUAUGUUUUUGAACUAACUAGUUAUUUUUCCUAAAAACCCAACAUUUAACGGUUUUCCCGAAAUCUAAUCCAUAAUAAAACAAGUAAUAAAAUUGGUAAUAAUUCACUAAAUAACCCUCAAUUAUUCAUCAAACCAAACUGCACAAGCUAAUAUUACAGCUAGGGACUAAUCUGGAAUUUAUCAUAUUUUUUAAGGAUCAAAUUGUAACUUUUGUCAAAUUGAAGGACCAAACUAAAAAUAUCAUAAAUCCAUGACUAUACUGAAAUUCUGACCAUAAUUAAUCCUCAAUUCUGUCCAGAAUAUCUCAUUAUACUCCAGGGACCAUUCUGGAAUUUUACCAAUUUUUUAGGGUCAAAUUGUAAUUUUUGUCAAAUUGAAGGACCAAACUAAAAAUAUCAUAAAUCCAUGACUAUACUGAAAUUAUGACCAUAAUUAAUCCUCAAUUCUGUCCAGAAUAUCUCAUUAUACUCCAGGGACCAUUCUGGAAUUUUACCAAAUUGUUAGGGUCAAAUUGUAAUUUUUGUCAAAUUGAAGGACUAAAUUGAAAGUGUUAAAAUUUCAUAACUAUACAGGAAUUCUGCCCAUAAUUCAUCUUUUAUUCUGUUCAGAAUCUCGGAAUAGGCUCCAGGGACCAUUCUGUAAGUUUCCAAAGUUUGGGGACUAAACUGUAAUUUUCACAAAUUGAGGGACCAAACCAAAAUUUUGUCAUCUUUAACCUCCAACCCAGAAUUUUAACAGAAAACCUACUGUCCUCUCCAAAUUUCUAACAAAAAUUCACCAUUCAAAUAAAACCAUAACUCAAAAUCAUAAUUUUUAUCUACAAUCUCUCAAAUUCAACUUAACAAUCCAUUACCCACAACAAUCAACCUUAUAACAUUCAAUUUAAUUCAUCAAUUAAAUUCAAAACACAAAUUUUCAAAACCCUAACAUUCAUCAAAACUGAAAUUAAAGCUAAAGAAAACAUAUUAUACACAUUUAAGCAUAAUCUUACUCUUUUUACUUAUUUUCUCCAGCUCCUUUCUAUUUCCCUUUUAAUUUCUCUCUUUUCUCAUCUUCUUCUUCUUCCUCCCUUUCUCUCCUGCCGGUUUGCUCUCUUAAUUUCAGAUCUCUUUCUCUCUCUCUCUCUCUCUUUUACUUCCUAUUUAUAUUUAUCAAGUUUUGUUGAAUUACCACUAUAUUUCUUAUUCAUUUAUUCCAACUUUUAAGCCUUCAAAGGUUUUAUUGUAUUUUCCAACUCAUUAAUUCAAAACGAUACAAUGUUCUUGUAGAAUGGACAUGAAAAUUAAAAGGUUCAAAAGCUUUAGCCCAUAUAGCACCAGACCUGGGCAUAGAUAGACAUAUUGAGGCUAGCUCGAGUGAAGCGCAGAAAAGAAGUUGGGGUUUCCGGAAUAAUUCACUGCGCAUUUCUCAAUUGACUUGAAUAUCUUCAGAUGGGUGUUCUUACAACGUCAAGACAUUUCGAUGUUGUGCAUGUAAAUCUAUCACAUUUGUAGCUCUUUUGGGAUGAUAAAUUAUUUUAUAAAAAUUUGAGAAAUAAACAUGCUAAAAUGACUAGUCCUGCCAAAUAGUUGUUUCAUCGAGCAUCUAACACCCUUUAUCUAACCUCUCCACUGCUGUCAUGUUUACCUGCAGAAUCUUGUUUAGAAUUUCAUCGACUUUGAAAACUGGACCCUACUUGAUGUCAUGUUUAACGUUCGGAAACGUCUUCAAGGGGUUAUGAAAAUGGAAACUCGUGAACAUUAAUUUUCUUGAACAGUUUAUGAAAAUUGGACCCUACUUGAGUUUAUGAAGUAACUUGUUAAUUAAAACGUCUACAAGAGGCUGUCCCUUCAUUAAUUUUUAUGGAUUCACAUCAUUGCGGGGUCUAGCUUACUUUUCCACCACAGGUUUGCUCAUGAACCAGCUACUUAGUCCCUCCCAAUUAAUUGUCAUAAUUCGAAGGAGCCACAUUCUUCAGCGACAUAGACUUGAAAUCUGAAUAUAGCAUGCAUAUGCAAGUGGUUGAUGUUACAUUUUGAGAAUGAAACGUUCAUCAUAAAACUUCAAGUUUUUUAAAAGCAAUCUAAAUUUAACGAUAGCAAGGCCAUUAAUUCUGACCCAACAAUAACAUAAGAAAAUCGAUUGUAAUGAGAAAGUAUCAUACAUAUAAAAAACAAAACAAUAUACUUAAAAGAUUGAUUGGAUUGCAAAUUACAAAGCAUAAUGAAAAAGAGGAAAGUGGUAAUUAGAAACUAGAAUGGAAAAUACUUUGGAAAUAACAAAAAAGAAAUUAUUGGGAGAUAUGGUUGAUUUGUCCUUGUGGAAUUUAUAAAUCCUUUCUCAUAUAAUUAAUUUUUGAGUUGAUCUUGACUUGGAAAAUGAAUGAUGAUGCGUAUAUUUCAUGAACAUGCGAGUCGAGUCUUGACUUGGAAAAUGAACUAUAUAUAUAUUAUGGGUGAUCAAUUCGUGAAAAAAAUAGACUUUUUAUAGCUGCAUUAAAAGCUCUUAGUUAGGGUGGUUGGGGAUGGUCUUUAGUUAACUGAGUGGUUGGACGUUCACCUGAAAUGAAAAACAAGUCCUCUGAAGAAAAAGAGAUUUUUUAAUGCUGAAGUAAAUAAAUAUAGGAGAAGAGAAAAAUACAUAGAAAAAGUAAAAUGAAGUUUUUUAAAAGUAAUCUAAAUUUAAUUCUUUUUUAAGACACGAAGGCCACCGUAACUUCUGGACUCACCAACUGUCUUUUUUAUCUUCGAUCUCAACUAAUAAAUCUUCGUCUUUCACUACUGCUUUAUUCACAUCCAUCCCUGCCUCUAUGAUUUCUGCACCAUCCUCUUCCAAACAUACAGUAUCUGGUGUAAGUAACAUAAAACAAAAUCUUUCACAAAUAUUAUUCACUACCAUAGGGUUUAUGAUCGUGUUGAUGGCACUCUUACUCCUCAAUUCAUUACUAGAACUUCUCGACAACCUACUGUCAAUCUAUAUUUUGCUAUUUGUCAGCAAGUUAAUCAUGUUGUUGUUUCUUGGAUAAAUGCUACUGUGUCAUCUUAAGCAUCCCAUCUUCCCUGGAAUUGCUCUCUAUGCCCGUGAUACUUGGGUUGCUAUUGAAAUAUGACAACGUGUCUUCAAUAUAUAUGCACUUGAAAUCUAAUUUGAACCUUUUAAGUUAAAAAUUAAAGAAUCUAAACUAAAAAUACUUUUUAUUUCUCUUAUAAACAUAAAGUAUGUAUACUAAAGAAUUUCAAAUCCUAUAUUAUAAAAAUAAAAUAUUUUUCUAGUAUUUAUACGAUAAAUUUUGAAAAUAGUUAAUUACCAACUAAAAUAUAUAUAAAAAAAAAAGUUCUCUAACUAGGAGAAAAAAUAUAUUUUUUUAAAAAAAAAUCGAGUCUCAACCAAAUUUGUAUGAUUGUUUGGGUCAUAAGUCAAUCAGUGGAUCAACCGGGUUUAAUUUGCCAAUUUGAUAAAAUUAAGAGUGAAACAUUGUAAUGUGUUUGACUUUAAUUUCCACAAUGAAAAAAGAAUAGACUUUAAGAGAAGAAAAACAAAUAAUUUUUUUUUUGAACAUAAAAUACUAAUAUUUAUAUAAUAAACUUUAAAAUAGUUAAUAACCAUCUAAAUAAUAUAUAAAAAGGGGUAUCUAACUAGAAGAAGAAACACAUUUGUCAAAAAAAAAAAAAAAACACAAGAUCUUAAUUAGAUUUUACCGGGCUGCUAGAGUCACGGAUCAAUUCAAAAAAACCAGGUUUUCUCAAUUCGAUAAAAUUAAGAGUGAAACAUUGUCAUGUACUGUUGGACUUUAAUUUCCACAGUGAAAAAAGAAUAGUCUUUUCAGAGGGAAGAAGAAAACAAGAAGGAACCUUCUUAUCGACUUUGAAAAUUGUACCCUAUUCGAUAUCAUGUCUGCACUCUGCCGUUCGAAAACGUCUUCAAGGGGUUGUGAAAAUGGAAACUCAUGAACAUUAAUUUUCUUGAACCAAUUAAACCUUAGUUGACAUAAAACCAAUGUGGGGAUCAAAUGUUGGUUGAUGAAUCUGAAAAAGGUUCUCACUGAGUCUGAAAGCAUCUUAAGGAUGUAAGGAAUAUUCCUUACUUUCCUAUUUAAUGUUUGAUCCAUAGAGCAUCACAGCAAGCCAUUUGAUCUCAACUUAAAUCUGUAAGAUCCCAUUGAAACUGAAGCUUCCAAGCAUGAGUUCAUUCAUAUUGUGGUUUCUUUCCUUUCAAAUAAUUCAACACUCUUUCUCCUUCUCAUUAGCUAGAGGAGGAAGCGAGAUUGACAAACUCUCUCUACUAGCUUUCAAGGCACAAAUUUCAGACCCCCCUACAAAACUAAGCUCGUGGAAUGAAUCCGUACACUUCUGCCAGUGGUCAGGAGUAACAUGUGGAAGACGGCAUCAAAGAGUCAUAGAGCUUGACCUCCACUCCAGCCAACUGGUGGGCAGCCUAUCUCCCCACAUUGGGAACUUGAGUUUUCUUAGUCUGCUAAGAUUGGAAAACAACAGUUUCACCAAUACUAUCCCCCGAGAAAUAGAUCGUUUGGUUCGGCUACAGACACUGAUUCUCGGGAACAACUCGUUCACCGGUGAAAUCCCGGCCAACAUUUCUCAUUGCUCGAACCUCCUGAGCCUUAAUUUAGAGGGAAACAAUCUUACUGGCAACCUUCCUGCAGGACUUGGAUCGUUAUCAAAGUUGCAGGUAUUUAGUUUUAGAAAAAACAAUCUAGGUGGCAAGAUACCCCCCUCUUUCGAAAAUCUUUCAUCUAUCAUUGAAAUUGAUGGAACACUUAAUAAUUUACAAGGGGGUAUUCCCAGUAGUAUUGGGAAACUGAAAACAUUGAACUUCUUUUCACUCGGCUCAAAUAAUCUGAGUGGUACAAUCCCUGCCUCCCUAUACAAUAUUUCUUCUCUCAUUCAUUUCUCUCUGCCUUAUAACCAAUUUCAUGGUACACUUCCUCCAAACAUUGGCCUAACUCUUCCAAAUCUCCAAUAUCUUGGCAUUCACGACAAUCGAUUAAGUGGACAACUCCCAGCAACGCUCAUAAAUGCCACAAAAUUCACUGAGAUUUAUCUUUCAUACAAUAAAUUCACCGGAAAAGUUCCCACUUUAGCAAUCAUGCCUAACUUGAGGAUUCUUUCAAUGGAAGAAAAUGGGCUUGGAAAAGGUGAGGAUGAUGAUUUGUCCUUUCUCUACACCCUCUCAAACAGCAGCAAGUUGGAAGAUUUGUAUAUAGAUAAUAACAAUUUUGGAGGAGUGCUGCCUGACAUAAUUAGCAACUUCUCAACAAAGCUCAAGCAGAUGGCAUUCGGAAGCAAUCAAAUCCGAGGAACCAUUCCCGAUGGCAUUGGAAAUCUAGCAAGCUUGGAAGCUUUGGGUUUGGAGAGAAAUCAAUUGACUGGCAGCAUACCAAAUUCUAUUGGUAAAUUACAAAAUUUAGUUGAAUUGUAUCUUAAUGAAAACAAAUUAUCAGGGAGCAUCCCCUCUUCUUUAGGGAACAUCAUCUCGUUGCUGCAAAUUAAUUUUAAUCAAAAUAGUUUACAGGGAAGCAUCCCUGCAAGCCUGGGAAACUGCAGGAACUUGUUGCUCUUGGCUCUCUCCCAAAACAAUCUCAGUGGUCCCAUACCAAAAGAGGUCCUUAGCAUUUCAUCCUUGUCAAUGCAUUUGGUCCUGUCUGAAAAUCAGCUGUCUGGUUCCCUUCCCUUUGAAGUGGGCCAGUUAAAGCAUCUUGGACACAUGGACUUCUCCAAAAACAGGCUAUCAGGGGAAAUUCCCUCAAGUCUUGGCAGUUGCGAGAGUUUGGAACAUUUGUCUUUGGAUGGGAACUUCUUCCAAGGCCCCAUUUCCGACUCUUUGAGAUCUUUGAGAGCACUUCAAGAUCUUAAUCUCUCUCACAACAACUUGACUGGCCAAAUUCCCAAGUUUUUGGGAGAUUUCAAGUUGUUGCAGAGUUUGGAUCUGUCAUUUAAUGACCUUAAAGGUGAGGUGCCCAUGCACGGUGUCUUUGAGAAUACAAGUGCGGUUUCAAUUGCAGGGAACAAGAAUCUUUGUGGAGGAAUACUUCAGUUGAAUCUGCCCACUUGCAGAUCCAAGUCAACAAAGCCAAAGUCUUCUACCAAGCUGGCAUUGAUAGUCGGUAUUCCUUGUGGCUUUAUUGGAUUAAUCUUCAUCACAUCUUUUUUAUUUUUGUGCUGCUUGAAAAAAUCGUUGAGAAAAACAAAAAACGAGCUGUCAUGUGAAAUGCCAUUCAGAACAGUAGCUUACAAAGACCUCCUUCAAGCAACUAAUGGAUUCUCUUCGGGCAAUUUAGUUGGUGCUGGUAGUUUUGGGUCUGUGUAUAAAGGAGUACUUGCCUUUGAUGGAGUGAUUGUUGCUGUGAAAGUAUUCAACUUGCUACGCGAAGGAGCUUCCAAAAGCUUCAUGAGAGAAUGUGCAGCCUUGCUAAACAUCAGGCACCGGAAUCUUGUCAAAGUAUUAUAUGCAUAUGCUGGCGUUGAUCUUCAAGGUGAUGAUUUCAAAGCUCUUGUUUAUGAGUUCAAGAUCAAUGGAAGUCUAGAAGAAUGGUUGCAUCCAAACCAAACAUUGGAUCAGGAAGUGGAUGGGCCAAGAAAUCUUAAUCUCAUUCAGAGGUUAAACAUUGCAAUUGAUGUGGCUAAUGCGCUCGACUAUUUGCACAACCAAUGCAAAAUGCCUAUUGUUCAUUGUGAUCUUAAGCCAAGUAAUGUUCUUCUCGAUGGAGAUAUGACUGCUCAUGUCGGGGACUUUGGAUUGUUAAAGUUCCUUUCUGAAGCAUCCUGUCAGUCAUCUUCGAGUCAGACAAGCUCUGUCGGAUUAAAAGGCACCGUCGGCUAUGCAGCUCCUGGUAACAUUCAACUCUAGAGGGAUACAUAUUCCAUUAUUUACAAGUUUUCUCUAGCAUUUUAUCUCCAAGGUCAUAAGCAACUCUGAUUAAUUAACCAUUCAAACAAACUGACUGCAGAGUAUGGCAUCGGAAGCGAGGUGUCAACUUUCGGGGAUGUAUACAGCUAUGGCAUCCUACUGCUGGAGAUGAUUACUGGGAAGAGACCUACUGAUAGCAUGUUCAGAGAUGGACUAGAACUUCACAGUUAUGUUAAAAUGGCAUUACCUGACCGUGUAAUCGAUGUCGCGGACCCGAAACUUCUGACAGAAGUUGAUCAGGGAAAAGGCACUGAUCAAAUCGUGGAGUGUUUGAUUUCAAUCAGCAAGAUAGGAGUGUUUUGCUCAGAAAAGUUUCCUAAAGAGAGAAUGGACAUUAGCAAUGUUGUAGCUGAAUUGAAUCGAGCUAAGGCCAAUUUUCUUUGAAGGCAUGGACUGCUAUCCUACGAGAAGGUUCUUGCCCUGUAGUGUCCAGACGACCUCAAAGUGAAUGUAAGACAUGAGGAAUGGAGUCUAAAUAUUGUAACUUGCUUAUUUGCAUCAGCAUGAGUCCUAGCUAGCUACUAGUCAGAAAGUGUCCCUGAAAGAGAGCACGAAACCUGUAGUGUAAGUGCCUGUUUUUUUGAAAUAACCUGUAAUGUAAUUAAAUGUUAUGCAAAAAUUAAGCACUCUUCUUUUACAUGUCGACUUUUACCUAACCUUUUUGUUUUGUUUUUGCUCUCUUAUGAUGAUUGAAGAUUACACAACAUUGCCCUGCUUUAAUAUUUCUCCAUUCAUGCAAAAAUAAACGUUGUAAUAUUGAUGCAAGGGAUUUUCCCCAAAUUUGGAUCAAUCUAAAAUUUUGCUAGGAGAUCAUAGAAGCCCUAUUUCCUGUAAGCUUAAAUUUUCAUAGCCAUCUAAAAGCAAUCAAGCAGGUCUCAGGACCUGCUACGAGCCAAACCCAUAAACAGGAAAAAAGCCAAACUAGACAACAUAACUGAACUUCCACCAGCAACAAAAUUCACUAAAAGAAGCAAUUUGGUCAUUGUGUAGUCUGAACUUCCACCAGCAACAAAAUUCACUAAAAGAAGCAAUUUGGUCAUUGUGUAGUCUCAGCUGAACUGAAUGCAUAACCUGAGCAUGUACAUCAAGCGGGAAUGAACUCACAUCAUUGAAGAUUCUGGCAUUCCUUUCUCUCCCAACAAAAUAAACAACUUCACGCCAAGCUAGUCUCAAAAUAAUGGAAGGAAAGCACUUUUUUCUGCAGACUUUUCAUGGCAUAUUUAAAUUCAUCAGCCCAAUCCCCCAGACUUCUGAAUUCUUCAACAACUGAAGAGUAGAACCCCAUAGGCCCAUACAGUUUUUGUAAAUGGACAAGCACAAAACAAGUGAUUUCAAUCCUCAUUAUCCUGAUUACAUAACACAAAUAUAGCAUACAUACUUACCUAUGUAUUAUUUCUUCUUAACAUAAGUGGUAUUUUCUUAAACAGUUCAAUUGGGAGGUUAGACUAUUCAGUUAGUAGUGCUAAAUCUGGAUCAUGUCUCGGUUGUAUAAUGAAGUAGCCAAAUGAAUACUUUUUGUUUUUUUUUUUUUUAGAAUACAGUGUGGGUUUCUCUUUUCUCAAGGUGGAUGGAUUUUAUCCAUGUUGUGCUGAGUUAAGUCUAAUGGGCUGAAAGUUCAACAAACAACUAGAUCAGUAAUCAGCACUACAGGAUUUCCUAAGAAGAAACUGGAAUUCAUGCCAAGAGGCAUAUACUACACGGAUGGAACUAGAUCGGUAACCACAAGAGAGUACUACUCCGGAGAAUGGCAACCUCAAAAUCUAAGUAAUCAGGAUGUCUGUGUAUGGAUGUCUGAUUUCCCUUGUUUACUACAGCUCUUGCAAUAAGAGAUGCUGUCUCCCCAAGUGUUCUCAACCGCUCCUUCAGAAUUACAGAAGGGUUCGAGAUUGGUGUUCCUGCUGCCUGGUUUACACUGUGCCGCAGCUGGAACCAGCAUUCACCCUGUUCAGUCAGCACACAAAGCACAUUUGGGUCAAGAGCAUAAAUGGAAUGGGUACACAUACACACCCACCCCCACACACACAAGAACAGCCACUAAUCAAAGUACAAAGCCAAGUUAUAACACUUUUGGAAGCUUUUCCACUAUUUAAGUUUAUUCCAACUGCAUUUGACCUCUGUACAGUAAGAGUUGAAAGCUUUGCUACUAAAUAAUUUUAACCAUUCAAAGAACACACAAAGGGCAUUUUCAACGUGUGUAUUACACAGACACCCAAUGAAUUUAAAAGAGAAAAAGUGUUUAACUCUUUAAUAUUUUGUUGCCUGUAAAAUGGUUAAUUCAAAAACAAGAGUUGGAAAGAUAAGAAACUUUUACAUGUAUUUUCCACACGGAGAAGCAUAGCAAUGAGUAAGAAGCCCAUCACUAGGCUAAAACACUGUCAAAGAAGCCAAUAAUAUAAAUAAGACUGAACAUGCAAGGAGAUCCCAUCUCAUCAGCAGACAUUCAAAACGGAUCAUGGACUCUUAUCAAUCAUUAAGCUUAUUAUAUUUAGGGAAAACAUCUAUCAUAAUUAAAGAACAAUAUCUUAAGGUUUAUCAUAUUUAGGUGGCUUUCUUAUGUAUUAUUAACAAAUAAUCUAGUGCUGGAGAUGGCUAAGACAAUGGUCACACCUUCCACUGGUUUUUCACCAGUUUUUCCUCCCCGUUUGCGUCUGUCUUCUGCCUGCUCUGACCUGUGCGUUCGUUCGUUUUUCCCUCCUUCCUGUUCUGGGUCUCCUUUCCUCUGUUUGCGUUUCCUGGUCUCCCUCUGUUCCUCCUGUAUUUUCCCGUUCCCCUGUGUAAUUUCUUUUCGUCUUCGUCCUCCUGUGCUCUCCACUGUUUUUUUCGGUCCCCCCUUUGUGUCCGGUCCCUUCUCUGACUUACUUUUAUAGCCAGAGAAUGCCAUGCGUUUUCCUUGACAAUUAUUGCAGGAGUAGUAAUAACGGUCGGCGAUGGCAGGGGCGUCCGUUGUUUUCGAUCGGGUGAAGAAGAUGAAUAGUGUUUGGAAACGGGGCAGUUUGAUGUUAAUGGCCAUUUGCGUUUUGGCCCUUGAAGUUUUGUAAUGAAUCCCCUGGAUAAACUUUAAUGGGACCCCUGCUUCUCAGCGCAUUUUAUAAAACAGUCCUAAGUUUCUGAAUUUUCAAUUAAACACAUGAUUUCAUUAAUUAAACUAAUUUCAAUUUCAAUUAAGUCCCAAAACGCUGCGACUCUACCCGUAGGGCAACCGGCUGCCCAUCCCGUGGCGGAACAACCCAUUCCACUGCAAGAACCCGAACCUGUCAAGACCCUUUAUUUGGUUAAGUAAACUAAUCUAAAGUUUAAUUAAGUCUCAAAACUUUUAAUUAUGUUGCCUUAACCCAAAUUCUAAUUUAUUAUUCAUUCAUUUCAUUUUUUAUCAUCAUUUUUUAUCAUCAUUUUUUCAUUUUUUUAUUAUCACUUUUCAAAAAAUAUAGUAAAAAUAAAAAUAAAUAAAAAGAAUAAAAGAGUAAAAAAUUGGGUUAUAGCAUCAGUUUUGAACCAAAACUCAUUUUAACAAAAAUAAUGAUUUUAAAAUGAAAAUUAAAGUGAUUGGAUGCUAGAUUAUUUUUCCUUGCAUAAUUUCUAACUGUAUGUGCCUUUGUUUUGAUCAAAAUUGAUCUGAUUUGAAACCUUGUUAGGUUUUGUUUUUGGAGUUCUUCAUUUUUUUUUGUGUUCGAUCCGUUUUAUUCAUGAAAUUUUAAGUUUUUUUGGGUGUUUAAUGUGUUUUUUUUAGCUUUGUUUUGUUUUUUGGCUUUGGUUUGUUUUUGGUUAGAAAUGCUUUUUUUCUUUUUUGUUUUUAUUUUAAAUUUUUUGGAAAAAAUGGUGCAAAUAUAUCAACAUAUCUUCUGUUAGUUUUUUUUUUUUACAAGUUUUGUAUUUUUUUUCAAAUAUUUUUCAAAAAUUGAGUAGCAAUAAACUGGAUGAACAAUCAAUCAUUUAGAUCAUGGAGAUUUCAUGAACUCUUCAUUCUUGCUUCUCGGUGCUCUACUCAGCUAGGCUCUAUAUCUAAUUUUCAUGUUUUAAGAGAGGUAAACCAUAUAUACAGCUGACAACCUUGUUAAACAAAGGGUGAAUAAAAUAUUUGUUUCAGGCUUGGAUUCGAAACUGGUAUGGAUACUCUCCAUAUUUUGCUUCUUCUAAGUUAUUGUUUGUGGCUACUGUGGUGCAAUAUGUUAUGGAAAUAUCAAUGUCAAGAGAUGGAAAUCGGAAGGCCUAGAUAUCUGUUUGUUUUUAUUUUACAGUCUUGUGAUUUCUAUGGUUCCUAUUGGCUUGGUUUUGUUUUUGUUUUUUGUUUGUGUGUUUUUGGGUCUUUAAUGUGUUUUUUUAUUUGGUUUUGUUUGUGGUUUGUUUUUGGGUUAAAUCAAGAUUUUUAGUUCGGUUCAUAAUGGAACAAAAAAUUUCAAAUCAACCUAGUCGAGUAAAAAAUAAAAUCUGGGUCAAAGGAUUUAUACCCUAAUUGGUUUGCCAUUUUUAUGGUCUUUUGGUUUAAGAGUAUUUUUGGCAAACACCGCUUAAGCCUAUUUUGGGUAAUUUUAUUAUAAAAAAUAGGUUUUUUUUUCCAAACAAAGCCUAAAAAAUAAUAAAUAUUUUCUUUUUUUUAUAUGACCAAAAAUCCUAAAUUUAUUUGAGCAUAUUUUUCAAAGAAACUUUAAAAUAUUUUGUUAUAUUUUAAAAAACAAUAUUGCAUGUAUUUUACAAUAAGUUUGUAAAAUUUCAAAGGAUUUUGACUAAUAUUUAAAAAUUAUUUUUGGUAAAAAGAUAUUAUUCACUUUUUAUAGAAGAAUAAAAAACCUAAAAUGAGUGAACGUCCACAAUAUUAUUAGGGAUAAUAAUUUUAUUUAAAGUUCAUCAAUAAAGACCUGGCUUUGUGUCUCUUUUCUUCAAAGAGUUCUUGAUUCAGAAAAUUAGAGUUCAUUCAUCAUAGCAAACCAUCAUAGUUAAGUCGGUAGAGAUGGAUAUUACCGACAAUAGCAAACAAAUACAACAUAAUACAACCAUGGACAUUUAUCUUUGGCUCAUAACCAAUUUCAUGGUACACUUCCUCCAUGCAUUGGCCUAACUCUUCCAAAUCUGGAAUUUCUUGGCAUUCACGACAAUCAAUUAAGCGGUCUAAUUCCAGCAACGCUCUUAAAUACCUCAAAAUUUACUGAGAUUUAUCUUUCCUACAAUGAAUUCACCGGAAAAGUUCCCACUUUAGCUAGCAUGCCUAACCUGAGGGUUUUUUCAAUUCAAGAAAGUGGGCUUGGAAAUGACGAGGAUGAUGAUUUGUCGUUUCUCUACACCCUCUCAAACAGCAGCAAGUUGGAAGUUUUGGCUAUAGAUGGGAACAAUUUUGGAGGGGUGCUGCCUGGCAUAAUUAGCAACUUCUCAACAAAGCUCAAGAAGAUGACAUUCGGAAGAAAUCAAAUCCAAGGAAGCAUUCCCGAUGGCAUUGGAAAUCUCAUAAGCUUGGAUACUUUAGGUUUGGAGAGAAAUCACUUGACUGGCAGCAUACCAAAUUCUAUUGGUAAAUUACAAAAUUUAGUUGAAUUCGUUCUUAGUGAAAACAAAUUAUCAGGGAGCAUCCCUUCUUCUUUAGGGAACAUCACCUCGUUGAUGCAAAUUAAUUUUCAUCAAAAUAGUUUACAGGGAAGCAUCCCUGCAAGCCUGGGAAACUGCAGGAACUUGUUGCUCUUGGGUCUCUCCCAAAACAAUCUCAGUGGUCCCAUACCAAAAGAGGUCCUUAGCAUUUCAUCCUUGUCAAUGCGUUUGGGUCUGUCUGAAAAUCAGCUGUCUGGUUCCCUUCCCUUUGAAGUUGGCAAGUUAAAGCAUCUUGGAUACAUGGACAUCUCCAAAAACAGGCUAUCAGGGGAAAUUCGAACAUUUGUCUUUGGAUGGGAACCUCUUCCAAGGCCCCAUUUCCGAGUCUUUGAGAUCUUUGAGAGCACUUCAAGAUCUUAAUCUCUCUCACAACAACUUGACUGGCCAAAUUCCCAAGUUUUUGGGAGAUUUCAAGUUGUUGCAGAGUUUGGAUCUGUCAUUUAAUGACCUUGAAGGUGAGGUGCCUAUGCAUGGUGUUUUUGAGAAUACAAGUGCGGUUUCGAUUGCAGGGAACAAGAAUCUUUGUGGAGGCAUACUUCAGUUGAAUCUGCCCACUUGCAGAUCCAAGUCAACAAAGCCAAAGUCUUCUACCAAGCUGACAUUGAUAGUCGCUAUUCCUUGUGGCUUUAUUGGAUUAAUCUUCAUCGCAUCUUUUUUAUUUUUGUGCUGCUUGAAAAAAUCGUUGAGAAAAACAAAAAACGAGCUGUCAUGUGAAAUGCCAUUCCGUACAGUAGCUUACAAAGACCUCCUUCAAGCAACUAAUGGAUUCUCUUCGGGCAAUUUAGUUGGUGCUGGUAGUUUUGGGUCUGUGUAUAAAGGAGUACUUGCAGUUGAUGGAGUGAUUGUUGCUGUGAAAGUAUUCAACUUGCUACGCGAAGGAGCUUCCAAAAGCUUCAUGAGAGAAUGUGCAGCCUUGCUAAACAUCAGGCACCGGAAUCUUGUCAAAGUAUUAUUUGCAUGUGCUGGCGUUGAUGUUUAAGGUAAUGAUUUCAAAGCUCUUGUUUAUGAGUUCAUGAUCAAUGGAAGUCUAGAAGAAUGGUUGCAUCCAAUCCAUACAUUGGAUCAGGAAGUGGAUGGGCCAAGAAAUCUUAAUCUCAUUCAGAGGUUAAACAUUGCAAUUGAUGUGGCUAAUGCGCUCGACUAUUUGCACAACCAAUGCAAAAUGCCUAUUGUUCAUUGUGAUCUUAAGCCAAGUAAUGUUCUUCUCGAUGGAGAUAUGACUGCUCAUGUCGGGGACUUUGGAUUGUUAAAGUUCCUUUCUGAAGCAUCCUGUCAGUCAUCUUCGAGUCAGACAAGCUCUGUUGGAUUAAAAGGCACCGUCGGCUAUGCAGCUCCUGGUAACAUACAACUCUAGAGGGAUACAUAUUCCAUUAUUUACAAGUUUUCUCUAGCAUUUUAUCUUCAAGGUCAUAAACAACUCUGAUUAAUUAACCAUUCACACAAACUGACUGCAGAGUAUGGCAUCGGAAGCGAGGUGUCAACUUUCGGGGAUGUACACAGCUAUGGCAUCCUACUGCUGGAGAUGAUUACUGGAAAGAGACCUACUGAUAGCAUGUUUAGAGAUGGAAUAGAACUUCACAGUUACGUUAAAAUGGCGUUACCUGACCGUGUAGUUGAUGUCGCGGACCCGAAACUUCUGACGGAAGUUGAUCAGGGAAGAGGCACUGAUCAAAUCGUGGAGUGUUUGAUUUCAAUCAGCAAGAUAGGAGUGUUUUGCUCAGAAAAGUUUCCUAAAGAGAGAAUGGACAUUAGCAAUGUUGUAGCUGAAUUGAAUCGAGCUAAGGCCAAUUUUCUUGGAAGGCGUGGACUGCUAUCCUGCCAGAAGGUUCUUGCCCUGUAGUGUCCAGACGACUUCAAAGUGAAUGUAAGACAUGAGGAAUGAAGUCUAAAUAUUGUAACUUGCUUAUUUGCAUCAGCAUGAGUCCUAGCUAGCUACUAGUCAGAAGUGUCCCUGAAAGAGAGCACGAAACCUGUGUAAGUGCCUGUUUUGUUCGAAUAACCUGUAAUGUAAUUAAGUGUUGCGCAAAAGUUAAGCACUCUUCUUUUACAUGUCGACUUUCACCUAACCUUUUUGUUUUGUUUUUGCUCUAUUAUGAUGAUUGAAGAUUACACAACAUUGCCCUGCUUUAAUAUUUAUCUAUUCUUGCAAAAAUAAACCUUGUAAUAUCGAUGCAAGAGAUUUUCCCCAAAUUUGGAUCAAGCUAAAAUUUUCCUAGGAGAUCAUAGAAGCCCUAUUUCCUGCAAGCUUAAAUUUUCGUAACCAUCUAAAAGCAAUCAAGCAGGUCUCAUGACCUGCUACGAGCCAAACCCAUAAACAGGAAAAAAGCCAAACUAGACAACAUAACUGAACUUCCACCAGCAACAAAAUUCACUAAAAGAAGCAAUUUGGUCAUUGUGUAGUCUCAACUGAACUGAAUGCAUAACCUGAGCAGGUACAUCAAGCGGGAAUGAACCCACAUCAUUGACGAUUCUGGCAUUCCUUUCUCUCCCAACAAAAUAAACAACUCCACGCCAAGCUAGUCUCAAAAUAACAGAAGGAAAGCACUUUUUUCUGCUGACUUUUCUUGGCAUGAUCAAAUUCAUCAGCCCACUCCCCCACAGACUUCUGAAUUCUGCAACAACUGAAGAAUAGAACCUCAUACACUUUUCAGAAAUCUUUUUUAUUAUUAUUUUUUCAUUUUUUAUUAUCAUUUUUCAGAAAAUAUAGUAAAAAUAAAAAGGAUAAAAGAGUAAAAAAUUUGGUCAUGAGAUCAGUUUUGAACCAAAACUUAUUUUAAUAAAAAUCUUGAUUUUUAAGUAAAAAUUGAAGUGAUUGGAUGUUAGAUUAUUUUUUCUUAUAUGAUUUCCAAUAUAUAUAUGUCUUUUUUUGAUCAAAACUAAUCUGAUUUAAAACCCAUGUUGUUUGGUUUUGUUCUUGGGAUUUUUUUGUGAUUUUGAUAUGUUUUGUUAAAUUUUAAGUUCUUGUUUUUUUUUUAUGUUAAUGUGUUUUUUGGCUUUGGUUUGUUUUUUUGUUAGAAAUGCUUUUUUCUUCUUUUGUUCAUGAAAUUCUUUGGUUUUUAUUGCAAAUACAUCAACAUAUUUUUUGGUGGUUUUUUUUCUUUUCAAGUUUUGUAUUUUUUUCAAAUAAUUUUUAAAAAUUGGGUAGCAAUAAACUGGAUGAACAAUCAAUCUUUUAGGUAUGGAGAUUUCAUGAACUCUUCAUUAUUGCUUCUCGGUGCUGUCCUCAGCUAGGCUCUAUAUCUAAUUUUCAUGUUUUAAGAGAGGGAAACCAAAUAGCUGACAACCUUGUUAAACAAAGAGUGAAUAAAAAUUUAUGAGUUUCAGGCUUGGAUUAAUUUGAAACUGGUAUGGAUACUCUCCAUAUUUUGCUUCUUCUAAGUUAUUGUUUAUGGCUACUGUGGUGCAAUAUGUUAUGGAAAUAUCAAUUUUAGGAGAUGUAAAUUGGAAGGCCUAGAUAUCUGUUUAUUUUUAUUUUACAGUCUUGUGAUUUCUAUGGUUCAUAUUGGCUUGGUUUUUUUUUUUUUUUUGUGUUUAAUGUGUUUUUAAGCUUUGAUUUUGUUUGUGGUUUAUUUUCAAGUCAAACCAAGAUUUUUGGUUCGGUUCAUGGUGGAACCAAAAAUUUUAGGUUAACCUAGUCGGGUAAAAAAAACUGGGCCAUAGGGUUUAUACCUUGUUUGGUUUGCUAUUUUUUAGGGUUUUUUGGUUUAAAAGUGUUUUUGACAAACAUCCUUUAAGCCCAUUUAGGGUAGUUUUAUUAUAAAAAAAAAUAGUUUUUUUUUUCAAUCAAAACCUAAAAAAUAAUAAAAAAUAUUUUCUUUUUUUUAUAUGACCAAAAAUCCUAAAUUUAUUUUGAGCAUAGUUUUCAAAGAAAAUUUAAAAUAUUUUAGGAUAUUUUAAAAAAAUAUUACAUAAAUUUUACAAUAAAUUUGUAAAAUUUUAAAAAAUUUUGACCUAUAUUUAAAAAUUAUUUUUGGUAAAGAGAUAUUAUUCAUUUUUAAUAUAAGAAUAAAAAACCUAAAAGGGAUGAAUAUCUAAGAUAUUAUUAGGGAUAAUAAAUAUUAUUUAUUUUUAAUGUAAGAAUAAAAAACCUAAAAUGAAUUAAAAAUAUUAGGAAUAAUAAUUUUAUUACUCACUUUAAUAUAAUAAUAAAACAUUUAUAUAAAAUUAAUAUUCAAAAUAUUAUUAUGAAUAAUACAAUUCAUUCAUUUCUAAUAUAAAAAUAAAAUUCAUAAAACAUUUAAUCUAAAAUAUUAUUUAAAAAGAAUUACAAAAAACCCUAAAAACCAUAACCCUUUCUUCUCCCUCACCCGAGCCGCCACUCUCCUUCCCUCUUCCCAGACCAGCCUGUCCCCCCACGCUACUAAAGCUUUCCUUUGCCCAAAGACAAAAGGGGACCUCCCCCUCCUCUCUGAUUUUCCUCACCAGAACCAGCCAAAGCCGCCGCUCCCCCUGCUUUGGGAUUUUUGCUCCCACAACCAUCUCUUCCCCAGCUCACCACCAAAAACCCAACCCCCCAAUUUCCCCCUCACCCAAUAGCUCUUCCCUCUCUCAGCCGACCCAUCAGCCUCCCUUGCCUGGCCAACACCAACAGACCACGACCCGACCUUCCCUUUCCCGGAUCUGUUCUGCUUUCUUCUCCCUGGAGAUUGGCCUCCAUAGAAGCCAGCCACCGCCUCCAGCCAGCUCCACCGGGCAGACCACAUAGAACCCGACAACCGGACAACCACCCCCAUCUCAAGAGCAGUUUCAGCAGCCCACACGCGGCUCCCCCUCACAGAUCGUCCCCUUCCUCAGCAACCGACUCUCCUUCAUCGGUUCAACCCCACGUAGCAGACCUGGACUGAGAACCAACGGCCGGAUCUGUCACCAGCAGAGGAAAACAAACCGAGAGGAAGAAAGAAAACAAAGGAUAAUUAGAUCUGAAAGAAGGAAAAGAUUAAAAUCAACUGCUGUUUGUGCGUUUUUUUUCUUGUUGCAGGUGAUGGUGACCCUCACCGCCGGCGUAGGAAGACAGAGAAGAAGAAGACGUUCCCGAUCCACCGGUUUUGUUGACUUCGGCGACAGCCAGUGACGAGGCACGUGGAACAACGCGCCGCUACUAAUUCUGCAAUUUCAUAGGGCUUCCCGGCACUGUUCCUGAAUUUUUGAGGGCUCAUUUUGUAAAUUUAAAAUUAUUUAAUGUGUUGUUUAGGUUAUUUUGACUUUUGAUUGGUUUGUAAUCAUGUAAUGGGUGUGCUUAAACAUUGUAAAAAGGAGAGUGUUUGAGUGGGUGACUUUGUUAUUAUAUUAUUAUUUUUAUAUAUUUUUUAAUGAUAAAGUUAAAAAGACAAAAAGAAUUAAAAAGACAAAAAAUAAAAUGUUUUUAUUUGCAUUGAAUUUGGUUCAUGAUUAAAAAAAAAUAUCAAAAAUAUUUUAUUUUCUUUUGGUAUUCGAGAUGGUAAUCUUAUAAAUAAGAUGUAUUUUUGAUAUUAAAUAGAAAAAUAUAUUUUGUCUUUAUUUUGAUACUAGAGCAAUUAGAUUUUUUUUAUCCGAUAAUAUAAGGAUUUUUCUACUGAGAAGAAUUUUUCUUCUCUUUUCAAGAAGUCACAGGAUAACUUUUAAAAUUUUUUAAAUUAUAUCAAAUCGUGAAAUAGUUUACUUAAGGUAGGGUGCGCUAGAGGUGUUAAUAUUUUUUCUAGCCAUCUAUUGCCUGUGAAUUUCUGACAAGAUCAGUACACCUGGGUUUCUUAGUUACUCUGAACCAAAUACUAGGUAGCGAUUCCAACAAUCAACCAAGCAAACAAACAAAAAUUGCCAUCGACGCCUCGCGGGGACAUGCGAUAAUGAUAAGAAGAAAUCUCAAGAUCAUGUGAAUGACCAAAUGACACCCAAAGAAUAAUAAAACGAAAUGAAGGUGCAAGAUGACAAAGUCCAAUAAGAAAAUUGAGAUCCUGCAUCAAGAGAAAGACAAAAAAAAAAAAACAAUAGAGUCUUGGUGAAAAUUGAUAAGUUCUUGCACGAGAUAAGGUGAUGCAAAAGAGACCAAUCAUACAAAAAAAAAAAAAAGAGUUCUUCCUAAAAGGAAAGAUGAAAAACGGCUAAGGAGCAAUGAUAAGAAGAAGAUAUCAAUCUGAUAAAGAGUGAAUCAAAAUAGAAUAGUCACUUGAAAAGCCAAAUCUUGAAAAAAGAUAUUUGACCAAAGAAAUGUGGCAACAAUCAUAAGAGAAGAAAAAUGGCUAAGAAUAGCCAUGUUUAGAAAAAUACAAUUGUUGAAGAUAAGAAGCCUCAAUUGUUGAAGAUAAGAAGGUGAGGCUACAGUGAUACGAUAAGGGUGAAUGUCAAACUCAUGAAAAAUAAAAUUAUCAUGAGUUUGAGGGAGUGUGUUAAAGAAAUAAUCAAGGUAAAUAUUAUUGAUUAUUUUCUAAUCAAUAAAAGAAAAAGAUUAAUGAAUUGAACAACCUUAGACAAUGAGGAAAUUAUUUCAAUUCUCUAAUAAAAGGAGAUGAUGAAAUAUUUUUUUUUAUAAUUAGUUUUAUUUUAUUUUCUAGUGUCUUGUUAUAUAACUAUAUAAACUCUGCGAAUAUGUUUUAAAUUUCUUAUCUCAUUAAUGACAAAAAGAAAUCUAAGGAUUUUGGGUAUACAAUCUUUCGGUUAGUGUAGAGAGCUAGCAACUUUGGAAGUAGGGUGGUACUAAAGACGGAGAGCGGUAGGUAGGUGGUGUGAUAAUGAUUUCCAAGGAUGGGAUAUAUAUUCAAUGGGUAGACUUCAAUUUCCCCGAUGAGAAAACAAUGUUGUCUUUUCAACUUGGAAUAUUGCAUUCAUCUGCAGUAGUUUAUAUAAAUGAGUGUUAGAAAUUUGAAACAUCAACAAUAUUUCAGACCGAUGACACGUUACAAGGUUUGAAAUGACAAUGAAAGAAGCGCAUACACAAACACAAACAUGUGUUGCCAUAAAUCAAAGAAAUGGAUCUUAAGAAAAAAAAAAACAGAACUGAAAAUGAAAAAAAAUGAUAUGAAACAAAAUUAGUAUAACACGCUAAUGAGUCCUGUCAAUUGUCAUAUCAGACGAAUAGUUUGGUUUUGUGUGGACUUUAUUUUGCACAAUGAGAAAAUUCAAAGUCGUCUUUUUUAGGGGAAAAACUGGGAAACAUCUUCUCAACUUGGAAUAUUGCACCUGCAAGUGGUUAACGUAAAAUGAGUGUUUGAAAUUUGAAACUUGAAGCAUCCUUGGGGUCGUUUUUCAACCACCUCCUCCCAUUUGGACAACUUUGAGUUUCUUUUUGGUUUUUUUUUCUUCCUCAAUCCAUUCUUCCCAACCCAAUAACUUCAGACAUGCAUUUCACUAUAUAUAGAGGGAAGCUCUACACUCCUGCGUCCCUUAAUACAUCAUAUUAAGGGGUAAUACUAUGGAGAUGGAUUUAAUUAGUCUAGGACAAAUUUAUGGACAAAAUUUCUGUCAUGGUGGAGUGUCUUUUAGUGUGUUCCAAACUCAGUUGAUGAGUUGUUGUUUCAAUGGCCAAUAAUGAUCAAUGGCAAGUUUAAGAGAAAGUCAUGGCAACUACUCUCAUAUAGUAUUGCUUGGAGUAUCUGAUUAACCAUAAAUAAUUUUGUUUUCAAUAAUAUACAACUAGAUCUGGAUCAGUCAUGCUUCUCUUUAACCCUCCACUGGUUGUCUGCAUGGUGAAGAGCAUUUCAGUAAUGAUCUUUAAAUAGGUGCAGAUAGCAUUCCUAUAUAGACAAAUUAAUAGCAAAAGACAGAUGAUUGUUAGUGUCGUGAUAUUGGAAUAACUUUUACAGACUUUUUCCUUAGGAUUAUACUUUUCUAUGUUUUCUUUCUAUUAAUGAUAUUAUUUUGUAAAAACUAUUAUUUUUUUUUUCCUUGGCCAUUUUCUAAAUGGCUAACAUGAUAUUAAUUAUACAAUUGAUUAUUAUAUAUAAAAAAAUUAUUCUAGUAAACAAUCAUGUGCUCUUGUAAAUAAAUUUUUUGAAUGGCCACCAAAGAGUUAUUGGUGUGUUUGGGAACGUGUUGCAAACCACUUUCCAAAAAAUUUUAAUUUUUUUUAUAUUUUAAGAUUAUUUUGACAUACUGAUUUCAAAAAUAAUAAAAUUUUAUUUUGAUGCAUUUUACCGUUACCACAAUUCUAAAUAAACUAAUAUUCUCAUAAAGUAACUUCAAAUUUCUUAUGCCAGGUAAAAUAUUAUCCUAGUUAUUGUGUGUCAAAAUAUUAAUUCAAUUCAAGAAUUUACAUGUUUUAACCCAAAAAUUUAAACUUUCACUUAAAUAAAAAUAAAGGAUCUAAGAAUGGUUAUAUAGUAAACCGCUAACAUUGAGAUGUGUUCCCUAUCACAAUUGAAGCCAGCUCAAACACAUUUAUUACUCUUGCUAGUGUAUGCGGUGCCAAUAAUGGUUGCACGUUAUAGAGUACUAGGGGCUGGAUAAUUUCUAUUUUUUAGGCUGAUUUUCAUUUGCUUUGGUUCUUUUUAUGGUAAAAUUCGGCUCUCCUCUUUCGUGGCCUAUGCUGCUUAUUUGUGGUCGGAAGUUAGGGACUUGAUUUUGGUGAUGAACACGUUGCAAAUUUGCAAGCAGGUUAUAAAGGUCGCAGAGAACAAGAUGGGAAAAAUGCAACAUAUACUUGGAGUAAAUUGAUUUGUACAUAUUGUGUUUGAUAUGUAGAUUUAAGGCAUUUUGAUUUUACAAAAUUCAGAAAUCAUUGGUAACAUAUACUUCUUUUUAAGUACUUACCUAUGAAAGUUGAAUUUUCCGAGACACUUUAAUGGGGGGGGGGGGUAUUUAAUGGAUAAAUUAAAAAUGAAAUAAAUAUUCAUAAUUCACUAAUCACAGAAUUAUGUUGUCAAAUUUAAUGAUUUGUAUUAGUUAGUCCAUGAUAUUUGAUGGUGAACUAGGUUAGAAUUAAAUUUUAAGAAUAGUUCUAGUGUUAAAAGAAGUUCACUCUCUCCUUAACCUUUUUUAGUAUGAGCAAAGAGUCGAUAUCUAAAGAAAUUUAUUCUUCUAAAUACACUAUGUUAAUUUUUUUUCUAAGCUAGUAGAGUAAAUAAGACUUCAGAAGCACCUUUAACAAUGUUGUUACCCCCUUUUUAAUUAGGGCCCCACAUAAACAAAAUUAAUAUUGUCAUAGUUGUAUCUACUAUCUACACCUCAACUUGUAAAAAGUGAAAAAUAAAUAAACAUUACUAUAAAAUUAUCUAUUCAAAUUUUAAUAAUGUUCUCCCUCAAUUACUAAAACAACCCAUAAGUUACUAGCUAGUUAUAUAUAUAUAUAUAUGAGUGAAGAAACUUUAGUAAGAGAAUCACACUGACAAAAGAAAGCAAGGUGAAGAACGAGUAGAAAUACCAACAGCUAGGGAAAAUAACAAGCCACAAAAACAAGAAACAUUACCAAACUACGUAACCAAAACCAGAAAUGCUUAACAUGCCUCAAACCAUGGAUAAAAAAGCGACACGCUAUGUAGCCAUGCCUUCGAAGCUACUAUAUCAUUUGAUAAGAUCAAACCACUCCCUCUCCUCCCGCAUCAAAUCAUGGAGCACUAGGUAUCGGCCCGGGUACACCGCUUGUGCAACGCUCAUAAUCGCAUUCAAGUACUGUUGGAGACCUCGCAAUCACAAUUAGGUUGGAACAUGAUAAAAGAACAAUGAUAACAAGGAGUAUUAUUAUCAUGUAUCGGUUAUUUCCUCGAGACCCCAUUUAUGAAAUGAAAAAGAAAAAGCUGGAACUUCUUUAGGGAAUGUAUAUAAAAAACUUGGUAUGUGAGUAGAGAGCUAGCUAGUUUGCAAGAGUAGUGGUAAAGAUGGUGAGGGUAGCUAGGUGGUGUGAUAUAUACACACACACAUACAAAAAAAAUGAAAUAUGUCCCUUCAUUUUCAUGGAUUCACAUCAUUGCGGGGUCUAGCUUACUUUUCCACCAUAGGUUUGCUC